Molecule: long non-coding RNA, 50984 nt
Filed under: Triticum aestivum (bread wheat)
Lineage: Eukaryota; Viridiplantae; Streptophyta; Magnoliopsida; Poales; Poaceae
Description: long non-coding RNA (TAES_LNC011458)
Source: RNAcentral
GUUUCCCCGAGGUGGCCCCGCAGGUUGCUCGGUUCGGACCAACACUCGAAGGAGCACUGGCCCGGGGGGGGGGGGCUAAAAUAAAGAUGACCCUCGGGCUCGCGAAAACCCAAGGGAAAAAGGGUAUAGGUGGCAAAUGGUAAAACCAAGGUUGGGCCUUGCUGGAGGAGUUUUAUUCAAAGCGAACUGUCAAGGGGGUCCCAUAAAUCACCCAACCGCGUAAGGAACGCAAAAUCAAGGAACAUAACACCGGUAUGACGGAAACUAGGGCGGCAAGAGUGGAACAAGUCACCAGGCAUAAGGCCGAGCCUUCCACCCUUUACCAAAUAUAUAAGGUGCAUUAAUUAAACAGGAGAUAUUGUGAUAUUCCAAAAUAUCCAUGUUCCGACCAGGAACAAACUUCAUCUUCACCUGCAACUAGCAACGCUAUAAGAGGGGCUGAGCAAAAGCGGUGACAUAGCCAAUCAACGGUUUGCUAGGACAGGAUGGUUAGAGGUUUGACAUGGCAAUAGGAAGGCAUGAUAAACAAUGGCAGGUAGGGCUAACAUAGCGAAAGAGCGAAUAGCUAGCAAAGCAAAGAUAGAAGUGAUAUCGAAGGUAUGGUCAUCUUGCCUGCAAAGUUCUCAGAGUUGUCGAAGGCUUGAUCCUCGUAAACGUUCUCAACAGGUUCCUCGUUCACGUACUCGUCUCCCGGCUCUACCAAAAGCAAGAACACAAGCAAAGGAACCACAAUAAAUCACGGUGCAAUGCACAAGCAACAUGAUGCAAAACAUGACAUGAUAUGCGAGAUGCGAUAUGCAAUGCAUAUGCGUGCUCCGGAAGGGAAAUGAUGAACAAGGCAUCAACUUGGCAAACCAAGUAUGCUGCUGGAAAGAUGAGAUGAUUUCGGUUGAAAUCGAUAUGAAGAUCACCGGAAACGGAUGCAUGGUUGAAUGGCAAGCAAAACAAUAAGGGCACAAAUCUGCGAUUAACAGCACGAUGCUACUUAGCAUGCAACAAGAAACUAUGCUACAGCACCCCAACAUACAAAUAAAGCCUAUGGCAGUGAUCUACAGGAGAUUCUUAACAAAAGAGGAACACUGAGCUACGGCUAAAUCACAUCAUAACAGGUCCAAACAAGCAUGGUGAAAGUGCAAAAAAUAUCAGGCUGGACAUGGCAUAAACAGCAUCAGGAAGCAAUGUUCAGAGCAAGUUAUCAACAAGCUACAGGAACAUAUAAUAGCAAAACAAGGCAUGGCAUGAAUCUACUCAAAGCAUAGAUCAAAAGUCCCUUACUGACCAUAAGCCAAAAAGGACCAGAAGAAAUAAUGGCAUGCAUGUAAACAUAGCAAGUUUCGUUAUCAGAUUCAGCAAACAGGGCAUGGCAUUUACAGAAUUACGAAGGCACCUUCGUGAGCUCGAUGCACUCACUACAGAGCACCUAAUGAUAAACUAAGCAUACAUCCAUCAAGAAGACAUGGCAUAGAAGCUAUACAUGGCAAGAACAACAUCAUAGCAUACAUGGAUCGACUACAACAACCUCGUAAAAAUUGAAUAUCAUGUAAGCAAUCUGCCAGGAAACAUUUUGUAGCAAAAGUAGAGCACAAAAAAGACAUGCUAGAUUACUCCAUAAUUCCAAACAGUGGCAUGAAUGGAUAGAGCAUAACCAUAUGUUCAAAACACCCUUACUGAAGUAUCUCUAAAUAUGCAUGGAUCUCUCUGUAGCAACAUGUUUACAUGGCAUCACAAUAACAGCAGAACAGGGACUAAAAUCAGCAAUAUCACGAAGCCUAGUUUGCAUGCUUGUGCUAGUCACCACAUUGAUCACAAAAAUACAUGGCAUACACCCCUGUAAAGCUGGCAUGACAUAGAUCAAAGCAUAUGUAGGGCUCAAGUUCAUAAGAUGCACACAUUAAUCAUGGCAAAAAUGACAAAAGUGCAAGUUCUGUUAAGAAACAGAAACUAACAUCACAUAGCCCUCUUCCAACAGCAUUUCGGGCAUCAAGAUGAGCUCAAAUGUAAAUGAUGCAAUUGAAUGAAAUGAUGUACUCUUCGAGGCGAACAAUUUGGUAUGCUACACGCCCAAAACGGAGCCACGAGUGCAGAGUUAUGACGCGAUGAAAAUGCAACAAAAUAUCUGACNNNNNNNNNNNNNNNNNNNNNNNNNNNNNNNNNNNNNNNNNNNNNNNNNNNNNNNNNNNNNNNNNNNNNNNNNNNNNNNNNNNNNNNNNNNNNNNNNNNNNNNNNNNNNNNNNNNNNNNNNNNNNNNNNNNNNNNNNNNNNNNNNNNNNNNNNNNNNNNNNNNNNNNNNNNNNNNNNNNNNNNNNNNNNNNNNNNNNNNNNNNNNNNNNNNNNNNNNNNNNNNNNNNNNNNNNNNNNNNNNNNNNNNNNNNNNNNNNNNNNNNNNNNNNNNNNNNNNNNNNNNNNNNNNNNNNNNNNNNNNNNNNNNNNNNNNNNNNNNNNNNNNNNNNNNNNNNNNNNNNNNNNNNNNNNNNNNNNNNNNNNNNNNNNNNNNNNNNNNNNNNNNNNNNNNNNNNNNNNNNNNNNNNNNNNNNNNNNNNNNNNNNNNNNNNNNNNNNNNNNNNNNNNNNNGCCUCGCGGGCCUGGCGCGGCCGGCGGCGAAGUGGGGCGCGGCCCACCACGUGGCGCGGCCUGAUUCGUCCGGCGGCGCGGGCGGACGUGUCCGGCCGUCCGGAUUUCGUCCGGCGGCGCGAGGGGAGCGGGGAGACUAGGGUUUCGUCCGGAUUUCGAGGAAGGGAUCUAUAUUUAUAGGUAGAGGGAGCUAGGAGUUUCCAAAUGAGGUGCGGUUUUCGCCCACACGAUCGUGAUCGAACGACCGAGAGCAUGGAGGUGAGUUAGAUGGGUUUUGGGCCACUUUGGAAAGGGUGUUGGGCUGCAACUUAAAAGAGGUCUUUGCGAGAGUGCGGUUAACCGUUGGAGUACCAAACGACCUCCAAAUGACCCGAAACUUGACAGGUGGUCUACCGAUGGUGUACCAAGGCCACUUGGCAAGGCUCAGCCCAUUCCGAGAACGUUAAACACCCGCACACGAAAAGAGACAAGAAGGGUGCGCCGGUGCAAGUGGGAGUGUCGGAAUGCAAAACGGACAACGGGGAAAAUGCUCGGAUGCAUGAGACGAACACGUAUGCAAAAUGAAAUGCGCAUGAUGACAUGAUAUGAUAUGCAUGACAUGAACAAAAUGCAAAACGAAAAACAAAACCCAACCACGGAGGGAAUAUCAUAGCACAUAGCCGAAAAUGGCAAGAGUUGGAGUUACAAAGAUGGAAAGUUACAUCCGGGGUGUUACAUUGACUAUAUAAUGUAAGGUGACAUGUAGAAUGCCUUCUAGCCGGAUUGUAGAUCGUUUGUCGUAGCGGACCUUUUCGCUUCAACCUCUGGACCCAAUAUUCCGGAGUGUGUCCGAAUACCCUCGCGGUUAUAAAAACCGGGGCAUGCGUGGAGACCAGGCGUAGGGGUCAUUAGUGCUUUAUCAGACAAGUGCCCAACUAGUUAUGUUAUAUUACAUGGUUAGUAAGAAACAUCUUCCAGGGAGAAUAGUUCCGUUAGGGGUUCCUUUCCCUGGGAGGCAUGCCCUAAAGUGCAUGUCCGGACUGUGAAAAGAGCAGAAAAACAUCUGGGGGCAGCUAAAUAAAUAGGUAAGAAAUCAUCUUUUAGUUCACCGACCGAGUAUUCCCUUAAGAACGCUAGCUUUCGGCUUCACCCAAUCUGAGGUACACAUCCGGCUGACCCGGCAGUAACAAUCGCAGAGGUGCUCCCUUUACCACCUAGCCGAACAAUCGGGAACGUAGGGGUAAGCACAGGAGCCAGGCAACCCAGCUUGGCCAAAACUUAAGUCAUAUCGAUGCAUAUAAUGGUGAAUAAAAGGUACAUGCGAAAGUGUGACACAUGUGUUGGGCAUAAAGCCCGAAUUAAUAAGCUUCUGUUAAAGAAGCCCCCAGGUAUAAUGAGCGCGGGUAGCGCGUUAAGUGUGUGCGAACAAAGUUUCGACAAGGAAGAUUUUCACAAGCAACUUUUUUCCGAGAAAGUAUAAUGCUUGGUCGAACCGAACACAAGUUAGAAAUUUUAAAACUUUGAGCAUGAAGGCAACUUAGCUGGUUAAUGUGUUCGGUAUUGACGAUGCGGUCCGAGCUUGAUGCAGGACAAGGUUCCAUCCCCCAAGCCGGUCCCGAGGUGGCGGAGCAAGGAGCUCGGCACUCCGAAGCGGUGACGUAGCACGGUCAAUGCAGGACGGCAGAGUGAUGCCGAAGUCCCCGGCAUGGGGUAAUGAAGUGUUGACGAAGCCCCCCAUCCAGUCGAGGUGACGUCAAAGGAUAUAGUCCGGCUGAAUCAUUUUCCUGUGCACAAAAAAUAGUGCAGACCGGGGAUAAUAGUAAUAAUAGGAAUUAAAAAAAUGUGUUGCAUAAUAAAUAAUUUAUGCAAAGUGAGUAGUAAAAGAAAUAUGGCCUGGCGCCGGAGUCGAUGUCGAUGCAGGUCGUCGGUGUAAUGCAAUAAAGGCGUGGCAAAGCCUGGAUUCACUGGUUGGUCCGAGUUCCGGAUGCGACGUUCGCCGAACUGUGUACGGAAACUGAUCGAACCAUCAUGCGACCGUCGAUAAUGCGGCCACCAUUUUAUAGACCUGUGUACAUAUGCAGGACUAACCAGAGUAAUAAAUCCUUGGGAAAAAUUUAACCCAAACGAGCAAAAAGAAAUACUAGGAUUAAUAGCACCUGGUUUAUUUGUUAUAGCAAUCCGAAGGAAGGUGAUUCCCAAAAUUGGGGCUCGAUCCACGCACCCAUGCCUGGUCGGCUAGUGACGCCGAAGUGUCCGGAGUAGGUUGAUGAAGGGAUGGCGAAGCCCCCGGUCCAGCCGAGAUGUCGAAGUAGGUCGGCGUGAUGGACACCAGCUUGAAGAAGCAAUAGUGCGGCCCUGCCGAUGCAGGUCGUGACGUGGUCGAUGCCGGCUUGAUGAAGCGACCAUGCGACGAUGCCGGUAUGCCCGCUCCGUGUAAUCCGUGGGGCGGCGAUGUUGGUGAUGAUUUAUCCUUCGCGAUGCCGGACUCUUGUUCGGCUUGCCAAGAUGAUGAUCCGAAGAAGUUGAGCUUGGCUCAACAAAGUGACGACGUGUCUAGCGCAGGUCGGCAGCCGUGGAGCAAUAUUGCCGGACUGGUUUGACACCAGCAUGAUGUUGAAGAUCAUGUUCAAAAGAUCUUAAAGUUAGUGGGAUGUGUUCGGGAACAAAACACAAUACCCCAUACAAAACUUCCUUCGAAAAGGAUGUCCGAAAUCCCGUUCAUAAAAAAGACGAACUCGGGUCGAAUUCAUUUUCGUGCAGAAAACAGAUCCAAAAAGUUAUGCACUAAUCAGAAGUUUCCCGGAGUUUGGACGGUCGGAUCGAGCUGAAUUUUUGGCAGGUGGUAGGGAAUUCCGUAGCAAAUCAACGGUUGGAUCCUCCAAAGGACAUCCGAGCUAGACGCUGGAUACCACGCCCUAAACUCGUCCGGAUUUUCGUCCAGAUUCAACAGGGCUCCGGUAUAUCGGAGAUUGCCGGAGAUUCCUCCAUCGGAACUCGACGAAAUUUUUGCAGGGUUGUUGUAGAUUUAAUUCCGCAUAAUUCCACCUAAGUAAUCGUUUAGGCGACACUCGAGGAGGCGGUGGCGGCGGAUACAAGUUUGCUGUCCAGAAAAACAGCUCGGUCGCCUGAGGGCAAUGUUGACGUUGAGCCCCCGAGCUCCAAGGAUGACUCCUCCAUGAUCUUGAUAGAGAUCGGAGUUGAUGUUGAUGAAGGCCCUCAUCCAAACAUGACGAUCAGAGGUAGGGCGCAGUCCUCGGUUAAGCCAAGGUGACCAGUCGAGCUGGUGACGAAGAAACCAACGUCGCAGUUGACCUGCAGUCGAGCCAUUGAUCCUUUUGCCGAUCACACAGCGGAACUCUCAAUGAGAGCACCAAUGUCGGUGUCAAAACCGGCGGAUCUCGGGUAGGGGGUCCCGAACUGCGCGUCUUAGGGUCAAUGGUAACAGGAGGCAAGGGACACGAUGUUUUACCCAGGUUCGGGCCCUCUUGAUGGCGGUAAAACCCUACGUCCUGCUUGAUUGAUAUUGAUAUUGUGGGUAUUACAAGAGUAGAUCUACCACGAGAUCAAGGAGGCUAAACCCUAGAAGCUAGCCUAUGGUAUGAUUGUUGUAAUGGUUGUUGUUGUAUAUAUCUCUAUCGACUAGCCUAGCCUCGGUUUAUAUAAUGCACCGGAGGCCUAGGAUAACAUGAGUCCUAGCCGAAUACGCCGGUGGGGGAGAAGUCCUUGUCUUGAUCGCCAAGUCUUGUAGAAUCUUCCUUGUAUGCGGCAACUGUCCAGACUGGCCCAUGAGUAUACGGCCAUGGGGAUCCUCGGCCCAAUCCACCUGACCGGGAGACGACGUGGUGAGUACCCCCUAGUCCAGGACACCGUCAGACGCCCCUGUCUUCCUCCAGCUGAGGGCUCCGCGGACGCCAACUUAGGCGUUUCUUCAUAGGAGCGUCACUAAACUCAGGGAGACCGAUCCGAAUUGGGUCCAGCAAUGGAGCGUCCUCUAUAUAAAACCAUUCUGAAGGCCAGUCUUCGGACGCCUUCCUAGGGGUUCCGGAUAGAUAUCCGGUCCCGGCGAUGCGCCAUAUUUCGGCGCCGCCCACUUGAUAUAUUGACCCCUCGUAAGAACGGGGUACAAGGCAGAAUAGCCUCUUCCACAGCGCAAAAUGGGGCUCGACGCCCAGGAAUAGCUCGCAAAGAGCUACGAAACCCGCGAUAUGCAGAAUGGAGGCGAGCGUUAGGUGAUGAAGCUGGAGUCCGUAGAACUCCAGGAGCCCGCGGAGGAACGGAUGUACAGGAAAUCCGAGCCCCCUUAUUAGAUAAGGGAUGAAGCAUACCCGCUCCCCUUUAGAGGGACUAGGGGUGGCCUCCGCUUGCUUUCCACCUUUGUAGGUGGCCAGCCUGGCUCGAACUGGGACCAUAAAGGCCGGAGGAAUAUAUCCCUCCGCUUGGAGCGUCACCAGCUCGCUGUGCGGAACAGAGCAUCUCGUCCAAUCUCCUGGCAAAGGACUGGGAACGCGAGAAGAGGAGCCGCGUCGAUGGUCCAUGAUGGAAUGGAUUUUUUGUCAAGAAGCGCUCCGAUGAGUACUCGCGGGAGGAAGAUGGUGUGAUUUGAAUCUGGAUUCCUGCCUCUCUUAUAGGCAGGUUAUUUACGCAGCUAGGGGGUAAAAUAUAAAAGAUACCCUGGCUUUUCACAUUCGUGCGACGCGUGGAAGAAGGCCAUUAUUGGGUGUGGGAGCCAAGAAGCGCAACAUUGAUGAGGAAGUCGGACACUAUUCGGCAGGUACAUGGAACUUAAAGGAGAACCCGCCUUGCAAUGCCGAAGACUACACACAUGCUGGAAUUAUCGUCAUUGAAGCCUAGUUCGGGGGCUACUGAGGGAGUCCUGGACUAGGGGGUGUCCGGAUAGCCGGACUACCAUCAUCGGCCGAACUAUCAUCGGCCGGACUAUCAUCAUCGACCGGACUCCAAGACUAUGAAGAUACAAGAUUGAAGACUUCGUCCCGUGUCCGGAUGGGACUUUCCUUGGCGUGGAAGGCAAGCUUGGCGAUACGGAUAUGUAGAUCUCCUACCAUUGUAACGGACUCUAUGUAACCCUAGCCCUCUCCGGUGUCUAUAUAAACCGGAUGGCUCUAGUCCGUAGGACACAACAACAACCAUUACAAUCAUACCAUAGGCUAGCUUCUAGGGUUUAGCCUCCUUGAUCUCGUGGUAGAUCCACUCUUGUAAUACCCACAAUAUCAAUAUCAAUCAAGCAGGACGUAGGGUUUUACCUCCAUCAAGAGGGCCCGAACAUGGGUAAAACAUCGUGUCCCUCGUCUCCUGUUACCAUCCGCCUAGACGCACAGUUCGGGACCCCCUACCCGAGAUCCGCCGGUUUUGACACCGACAACCACUCUAAGUACUGUUGCAAACCAAUUCAUAUUUUGUUUUGCAUUGUGUCUACUGUAAUAUAACUUUUCCAUGCCUUAAUCCACUGAUAUAAAUUGAUAGAUUCAUCAAAACAAGCAAACUAUGCAUCAAAAACAGAAUCUGUAAAAAACAGAACAGUCUAUAGCAAUAUGAACAUCCACCAUACUUCUGGUACCCCAAAAAUUCUACCAAAAUUAGGAAAAAAAACAAGUUGUAUAGCAAGACAGUGCAAAAGGAAUCAGAACCAAUUGACGUUCCAGUUAAAAAAUUUAAAAUCGCGCACUACGGCCAAAGUUUCUGUCCUGCACCGUACAAACCAACAAGCAUUGUAAACAUCCUAAAGGCAAACCUUGGCACAUUAUUUUUAUAAUACAAUGGAAUUGUACUGGGGGAUAAUUAUUUUUGAUGAAAAGUUUCUGUAAUCAAGAUUCACAAAGUUUCCGUGAGCAUGAACAAAGUUCAAGGAGCUCUCCCACUUCAACAAUGCUUGUCUUUGUCACUUUCACUUUCCUUUUUGAAAAGUUUUUUAGGUUCCCCUCUUUAUUUUUGUGUUUUUAAACUAUAUGAAAGCGCUCAACAGAAAUAAAUGAAUCUCUAAAACUUCUGGGUUGUCUCCCUAGCAGCGCUUUCUUUAAAGCCAUUAAGCUAGGCAUUUAGUGCUCAAGUAAUGAAUUCACCCGGAUCCCAAAGUAUAUCAAAGCCAAUUUUAAUUAACAAUGAUUUGUAAUUUAGUAGUGAGCACAAAGUAACAUAUAUCAAGCAACAAUGAAGUCUAACUCUUUUCCUAUGCAUCGGCAUGUCAUAAAAGAACAAUUCAUGCACACAUAGUAAAGGCCAAUGCAUAGUAUAAACAUUUUCUUGCAAUUUUAUCGUGUUGGAAACAUAGAGAGGUGGAGAUAUAGUUCCUCUCUCAUAAUAAUUGCAAGUAGGAGCAGCAAGCACAUGCAUAUUAUGUUCAUCAAAAUCAUCAUGUGUAGUAGUAAAAGGCAACCCAUCAAUAUAAUCUUUAAUAAGUGCAAGCUUCUCCGAUAUAGUGUAGUCGGGAGAAUUCAAAAAGAUAAUAGGACUAUCAUGCGUGGGUGCAAUAGCAACAAUUUCAUUCAUAACAUAAGGAAUUAUAGCAAGUUCAUCUCCAUAAGCAUAAUUCAUAUUGGCAUCUUGGCCACAAGCAUAGCAAGCAUCAUGAAAAAGGGACAUUUCAAACAAAUUCAAGGGAUCAUAGCAAUCAUCCUUCGGUAAGCACAAAGGGGAAUUAAAUAAUGUAUGAGUUUAAGAGUUACUCUCAUUAGAAGGUGGGCACGGGUGAUCAAUCCGCUCUUCCUCCUUUUGUUCUUCGCUCUCCUCAUCAUCUUUUUCAUCCAAUGAGCUCACAGUUUCAUCAAUUUCCUCUUCCAUAGGCUCCUGCAAAAUAUUAGUCUCUUCUAGGACAACGGAGAAUUUCUCAAUAUAUAGUUUAACAUAGGCAUUAGAAGCAUAAUUAUCAUAGCAAUAUUUAAGUAUGGCAAAAUUUUCAGAUUCGUAAAGAGUAGUACCAUACUUUUCAAUCAAAGAAGCAAUUUCAAAAGCACCCUUAAAAGCAACAAAUUCUUCAAUUUGUUGAACAUCAUAGUAACUAUAAACACCCUUAGCAUACGAAGAUAAGAUCACAUUAUCAAUAAACUCACAUUGGUAGGGAAGGUGUUUUUUAGGGUUUUCAGAACAACAAGUAAAAUCAUAUUCCAACAUAAAUUCCAAGCAUAGCAUUGUAAACGUUGAAUUUGACCCCAUAAUAGUUUCCCUUUUUCAGAUAUACGGUGUCGCACAUAACAAGCAUGCUCAUCUAAAGAUUUGCCCUCAACUAAGCUAGUUGGGGUUUCAGCACGAGCACAUAGGGUUCGAAGAUGAUCCAAGUAAUAAGCUUCAGCAGUGUGAUAGAUUUCGAGUGGUUCUUCAACCACUGGUUCCGCAGGUACAACUAUUUUUUUGGUAUUUUGCAUUUCCUACCCAUAACUAAAGAUAGAAAACAACUAAGAACAGCAAAUAAAAAUUACUUAGUGAUAAAGCAAAAAAGCACACAUGAGAAUAUUCACCCCACGCUAUUGCUCCCCGGCAACGGUGCUAGAAAAAGGUCUUGAUAACCCACAAGUAUAGGGGAUCGCAACAGUUUUCGAUAAGUAAGUGUGUUGAACCCAAAGAGGAGCUAAAGGUAGAAUAAAUAUUCCCUCAAGUUCUAUCGACCGCCGAUACAACUCUACGCACGCUUGACGUUUGCUUUACCUAGAACAAGUAUGAAACUAGAAGUAUUUUGUAGGUGUUUUCGGGUAAGCUUGCAAGAAAGUAAAGAACACGUAAAUAUAAACUAGGGGUUGUUUAGAUAAAGACACAACUAAAUUAGUAAAAGUAAAGAGCUUGUUGUCACGAGAAAGUUAUUUGUCCCUAGGCAAUCAAUAACUAGACCGGUAAUCAUUAUUGCAAUUUUAUUUGAGGGAGAGGCAUAAGCUAACAUACUUUCUAUACUUGGAUCAUAUGAACUUAUGAUUGGAACUCUAGCAAGCAUCCGCAACUACCAAAGAUUCAUUAAGGUAAAACCCAACCAUAGCAUUAAAGCAUCAAGUCCCCUUUAUCCCAUACGCAACAAUCCCUCUUACUCGGGUUUGUGUUUCAGUCACUCACCAACCCACUAUAAGCAAAUCAUGAACGUAUUGAAACACCCUACAAAGGGAAUCCCUCAUGCUUGUGCGAAACGGAGGGCACCAUAGGACAACACCAAUAAUAAAACAUACAACUCAAACCAAUCACGAUCAUCAAAUAGCCAUUAGGACAAAACAGAUCUACUCAAACAUCAUAGGAUAGCCAUACAUCAUUGGGAAAUAAUAUAUAGCGUUGAGCACCAUGUUUAAGUAGAUAUUACAGCAGGUAAGAGAGAGGUUACACCGCUGCAUAGAGGGAGGAAGAGUUGGUGGAUAUGUUGGUGAAGAUGGCGGCGGUGUUGGUGAAGAUCGCAGUGAUGAUGAUGGCCCCCGGCGGCGUUCCGGCGCCACCGGAAGCAAGGGGGAGAGGGCCCCCCUUCUUCUUCUUCUUCUUCCUUGACCUUCUCCCUAGAUGGGAGAAGGGUUUCCCCUCUGGUCCUUGGCUCCCAUGGAUUGGGAGGGGCGAGAGCCCCUCCGAGAUUGGAUCUAUCUCUUUGUUUCUGCGUUCUCUGCGUUGGCAGAUUCAACCCCUUCACCGUUUCUUUUAUAUCCGGAGAUCCGUAACUCCGAUUGGGGUGAAUCUUUCGCUCAGAUCUUCCUUGUAAAAUUAUCUUUCUUGCGCUACAAGGAGAGCAUCAACCGCCUUUCGGGUGGACCACGAGGGUCAGGGGCGCGCCUAGAGGGGUAGGGCGCGCCCCCUACCUCGUGCCCACCUCGGAUACCAUUUCGUGUUGAUUUUACUUCCCAAAAAUCAUAAAUAUUCCAAAAAAAAUAUCCGUCUGUUUUUUCCCCGUUUGGACUCUGUUUGAUAUUGGGUUUCUGCGAAACAAAAAACAUGCAACAGACAGGAACUGGCACUGGGCACUAGAUCAAUAUGUUAGUCCCAAAAAUAAUAUAAAAAGUUGCCAAAAAGUAUAUGAAAGUGAAUAAUAUUGGCAUGGAACAAUCAAAAAUUAUAGAUACGACGGAGACAUAUCAUGCUGUUGUAGAAGUGUUCCAUGACAUUACCAAAAUUAUCAUCACGGAAGUGUCCACUUCCAUGACGAUAAAUCGCGCGUCAUAGAAGUGCUUUCGUCAAGGGUGACCGACACAUGGCAUCCACCGUAACGGAACACCGUUAAGCUAUCGUGUCAGGUUUUGGAUCCGAUAACCCGUUAACAACCCCGACCAAUGGGGAUUUUCUAUGUGUAAAAUCAUCAUUGGCUGGAGGAAACACGUGUCGGCUCAUCGUUGGGACAGAUGUCAUCCACUCAUUGACAGAAGGCACCUAUGAUACAUCGACACGUGGCACGGCCCAAUAGAGGCCCAUUCCUGUGAAAAGGUCGGCCCGUUUGACUUGGUCAAAAGAUGGUGGGCCGGCCCAUGUAAAGCCUGUUAACGGCCUGUUCGCAUAUAGCCCAUUUACAGCCCGCUAACCCAAGGCCCGUUACGCCCUAUCCGAAUUAGGCCCAGUAGCGUCAUCUGGGCCAUCCAAUAUGAUUCCAGCCCGUUUUUACUUCUGGCCCAUGACGUCUUUCGGCUCAUAUGAGGCCCCAUGUAACUCUUGGCCUAUUAAUGGCCCAUGGUGAAACUGGCCCGUAAUGAACAAUGUAUCACUUUACACCCAUUAACGGCCCGUGGUGAAACUAGCCCGUAAUGAACAGUGUAUCACUUUAUACCCAUUAACGGCCUGUUAUUCCGUUGGGCCAUUUCCAACCCAUGUUAUCUUUUGGCCUUCUCAGAGCCCAUUUAUUCUUGGGCUCAUUUCCAGCAUUCGUUUACUUACGGCCCGUUACUAUCAUUUUCUGCUUGUGGGCCAAAUUCAGCCCGUGGUUACAGUCGGCCCAUUUGUGGUCCGUUAAUACGCUGGGCCAUUUCCAUAGCGUCAUCAAAUACAGCCUAUUAACGAUGGCCCGUUAUGGUCGGCCCAUGAACGGAUGAUUCCAACUCUAGCCCGUUUACGACCAUAUUGCGGCCUGUUAUUGGCCCAUGUUUGGCCAAUCGAUCAUACGACCCGUAGAAGGCCCAUUGUUUCUACGGCCCAUAGAAGGCCCAUGUUUCUACGACCCGUAGAAGGCCCACUGUUUCUACGGCCCGUAGAGGCCCCACUGUUUCUACGGCCCAUAGGAGGCCCAGUGUCACUACAGUAAAUAUUAGCCCAUGGUUAUUGUGGCCUAGUUUUAAAAAAUAGGUUAUUGCAGCCACUAGCAAACCGCGGAAAAAGAACUGCUAUGACUCCAAGCAAACAAAUAAACAAGACAACAAGGAAAUAAAUAAGCAAGCAACUUAUGCUAGGCUAUCACGGCUAUCACGCAUAUUACAUCCACUGGGCAUCAAAGUUCGCCACCAGUGCAAAUAAACGUGCCGACAAAAGAAUAUACAAAACUGAGAGCACUUCAGAAGGCACUAGGCCUGGCCAGGUUGGCCCCCCCAAACAGCUGAAGAAGCUGAGUAGACCUCAGUUGUGUCAACGAUAGAUGCAUCAACACUAGAUUUAAGGCAUGAUGGUGUGCACGGCAGUCCUCUGACAUCUUCAUUGCAUCUUUGACUUCAAGUUGGAGCUGAGCUAAAGCAAGCCUUUCCACUUUAAGUUGAGACUGAAGAAGUUGAACUGAUUGAGGCAGCAACUGCACAAAGGUUGUCUUACACCUGCUGGUGAGUAGCUUCAACUCACUGUCUUCAUCAAGACAGGACCUUGGGGUCAUCUUGCUGUCCUCAAGAUGGUUUGGCUCACUAUCUUCCCUAAAGUUCUACCCGGCGUAAGAGAUACGACUCUGAAAGAUAAACAAGGAGACACGUAACAGGUUUCACAAUUAUAUAAGCAAAUAAAUGGAUCUGUUCUGCAUAAGGAACAUGUUUUUACAACUACAAUUUGAAACUGGUAGUUGUUGCAAACAUCCAAUCAGAUGUAAACAGCAAAGCAAACAGCAGUGGAGGAAAUGAUGCCUAUCCAAAUCUAUACUAGAACAAAGUUUGAAGGCUUGAGAAGGAUGAACUUACAUUACAUGUUAACACGGGCUGGACAAAGCCCUUCUCCAUGUUGAUGGAAGGAUAAUUCAAUAAAUUCCCCAAAGAAAAUUCUUUAUAAGCGUUGCCAUUAUUCUACAUUUUGCAAAGAGUAAAUAUAGAUCAAAUAAUAUUGGAAGAAAUAGAGGAUAAUAGAGCUCAGGUGCAAACUGAUGAUACAUAAUCAAAUAGCAAUUAAUUAAGUACAACGUUACAAGGCAAAAGGGAGAGAGGUACUGACAAGAGCAAUGCAGAGCCCAUUAUUGUUUUGAGAUCGUAUGAUCCUUUGAGCAAGGAGAUUCAUCUGAAAUUAGUUUUCAUACAAGAGAGAAGGUAAGGCACAAGCAGAAAUUUAGGAGUUCAAAUUUUGAAUUGAUAUCAUAGACAGUACCUGACGCUGGGCUCCCAGCAGUUCUAAUAGGGGUUUGGCCACUGGAGUAGGGGUAAAGUGUGGUACAGUUGGGCCUGUGUUUUCUGUGGCUGCUGAUUUAUCUGAUUUAAUAGGUAUCACUACCUUUUCCAAAUAUCUAGUUUGUACUCCUUGAGGAUCUGCACUCACCCUCUUCCUUUUGGACAUCUAUUACGAAAGAACAACAUUUGACUGGAAAAACAUAGUGUGACGACACAUGGAAAAGGUACAGAAAAUGGAUAGGUAUGGCAUAUACUCAUAUAUGAUGCUUAAAUUAAGCAGAUGGUGUAACAAAGUCGACCCAUCAAGAAUCAAGCCUAGUAACACUACCUUUAAAGGCGUGAUACCGAGCAUGGAGGCUCGUUGCAUGGGCUCACUGACAUUGGAGGUAGUAUUCAGCUCCCCAGACAACUUCCAUAGCGAAGGAUUAAUCUUCGACAUUGUCCCUUUCCACAGUAGCUAUCACGCACUGCUCAGACGAACUACUUUUGCCCGCUUUAAUGCAGUCCCACACUACGCUUACUUGAAGCUUAAGAUGCAUGGACCUCGGGCGUUAUUACAGUCAAUGGAAAUAUGGGGCACUCCCUCCGUAAUGAAGAGCACACCACGGCCCUCACAGUCGAGGUGUAUGGCGGCCUUAUCAAGACGAACAUUUCAUCGGCCAAUAAAGCCAAUGAUGUAUCUAAACGAGUCCGGUCUGUGCAUAAUUGCGAUAAAUCAACGGACCCGGACCUUGAUUAGCAGUUCGGCCUCCGCUGAUUGCUCCAUUAGGUUGCGGCUUACAUACCGCGUGUACAUAACUACGCACUAAAAAUACCCUGGGCGGCGCCGAGGCACACUGCGGAAAGGGUCCAUAGUAUGGCUUGACCCCAUCUGCACUGCAUAUACCUUUUCCACUACAGGUUCAUCAAGAGCCCUAUUUGCUAUAUGAUUGUUUCAGGAGAUCCUUUUAAGGCUAGCGUUUCCUCACCAUCAAAUACUCCUAUCAAAGAACUUAUUACUAAGGAGAAAUGGCGCAGAUGUACGACAGGGCACCACUGGAGUUUUUGAACUAUUAUUUUUAGGCCCUGUGUUAAACUUUUUCUUUUUCUCUUUAGGCAUGUAACAUGACCUUAAUAUUAAAUUGCAUUGUCUGUCGAAGCAUGCCUCGACAUAUUAAUAAGGAUAUAAAGGAAGUAGAUGAUCAUCAACUUUUUGGGUUGGGUUUUUGUAUUAUCUUGCCAUCUGUGUUACCCCUUACAUUUGACUGACGUACGUGGUUCGGCACAGCCUUCAUAAUAGGGGCUGUAUUCGCCCCCGCAAACUCUUAAGUCCGAACACCUAUAGGGAACUCUUUGGCAUCCCAGAUAUUUCAUUAUAUGCAUCGGCUCCGAAUAAUGUCUUUGGUCUAUAGUUGGGUUGCCCGGCUCCUGUGUUUGCCACCUUACGUUCCGCAAGUUCAACUAAGGUAGUAAAGGAAGAACUACUGCGAUUGUAUUUCUGGUUCGUCCGGUUAAGUACCUCAGUAGAGAAAGCCGAAAACUGACUGUCAUGAUAUGCGAGAGCGGGUCAGCGAUCUGGUGACUUAGUGUUAUACUACAAAUCAUUCGCGAUUUCUGUCGUGUUAUACGAGGGGCUGGGCUUCGACCAGCCGCGUUGCAAAGGCGCCGUACUCCGAACCGUCGUUCACGCAACAGGGGGCUAGUACUUAGCACCACUAAUGGAAUAUUAAGACUAAGUGAAAGUACUAAAGCCGCAUAGUCUGAUUGCCUAGUUCACCUUGCAAGACGCCUCCUACAUUGGACCAAGACAUUGGAUAAAGUGCGAUCAUGCGUUCCCGAACAUCCUUGUAAUAUUUACAUGGGGGCGGAAGCAGACGACUGGCAAACUUUCAGACUUAUAAAUUAAAACGGCCAAACGGGAGGAUAAAAUAAUUAUAAAGCGCAAGCAUAAAUAUUUUACACCAUAAUUUUAUUACACAGUUCUUACAAGACGGACUGUACUAGUCAAAUAUGAUAUCUUUUGAGCAUUGGCCCUCUACGAUGCGGGCUCCCUCGAGGACCUCGCCGAAGUACUUCUCCGACCGCCGAUGAUCCUUGCUUUCAGGCGGCCCCGUGGUGGCAAUCUCGGUGGCCUUCAUCUUUGCCCAUUGUACCUUGACUCGGGCGAAGGCCAUCUGGGCACCUUCUAUGCAAGCCGACCGCUUGAUGGCGUCAACCCGAGGACAUGCCUCGACCAGCCGCUUCACAAGUCUGAAGCAGCUGCUGGGUAUGGGCUCGGCUAGCCAAAGAUCCUUCAUGGCUAGUCCGGCCACCCUGUGCAGCUCCGUCAGCUGCUUCAGCUGAUCACUGAGGGGAGUCGGAUACUUUGGCGCAAGGUAUUGCAACCAGAAUAGCUUCUCCGUUGAGCUCCCCUCUUCGGCACAAAAGAACUCAGCGGCGUCAGCUAUACUCCUUGGCAGAUCCGCAAAUGCGCCUGGAGAACUCCAAACCCGGGUCAACAAAAUGUAUCUCUUCUUUGUAAAUUUACUCUGCAUAAGAAAGGACUUACCAUCCGCUAUUUGCCUCGCCUCUUGGAUCUCCUGGCGAGCGCCCUGGGCCUCAACCUGGGCUUCUUUCGCACUUUCCAGCGCUUUGGUGAGCUCGGAGGCUUGUUCCGAACUCUUCUGCUCCAAGGACACGCACUUGGCGAUGGCGUCCUUGAGCUCCUGUUUGACCUCCCCCACCCAUGGCGGGUGGUUUGCUCCACCUCUAACUCCUUGGCCACUUUGUCAGCAGUCGCCUUGCUCACCUCCGCCUCCUUCUUGGCUUGGGCGAGGGCGCUUUUGAGGGACUCGACCUCGGCUGCUGAUACGUCUCCAACGUAUCUAUAAUUUUUUAUUGUUCCAUGCUAUUAUAUUACCCCUUUUGUAUGUUUAUGGGCUUUAUUUUACACAUUUAUAUCAUUUUUGGGACUAACCUACUAACGGAGGCCCAGCCCGUAUUGCUAUUUUUUUGCCAAUUUCAGUAUUUCGAAGAAAAGGAAUAUCAAACGGAGUCCAAACGGAAUGAAACCUUCGGGAGAGUGAUUUUUGGAAUGAACCUGAUCUGGAGAACUUGGAGUAUAAGUCAAGAAGCAAUCGAGGCGGUCAGGAGAUAGGAGGGCGCGCCCACUGAUACGUCUCCAACAUAUCUAUAAUUUUUGAUUGCUCCAUGCUACUUUAUCUAUUGUUUUGGACUAUAAUGGGCUUUAUUUUCCACUUCUAUAUUAUUUUUGGGACUAACCUAUUAACCGGAGGCCCAGCCCAGAAUUGCUGUUUUUGCCUAUUUCAGUAUUUCGAAGAAACAUAAUAUCAAACGGAGUCCAAACGGAAUGAAACCUUCGGGAACGUGAUCUUCUCACCGAACGUGAUCCAGGAGACAUGGACCCUACUCCAAGAAGCACCAGAGACGGUCACGAGGGUGGAGGGCGCGCCUCCCUGGGCGCGCCCCCUACCUCGUGGCCCCCCUGACGCUCCACCGACAUACUCCUUCCUCCUAUAUAUACCUACGUAUCCCCAAUAGACCAGAGACGGAGCCAAAAACCUAAUUCCACCGCCGCAACCUUCUGUAUCCACGAAAUCCCAUUUUGGGGCCUGUUCCGGAGCUCCGCCGGAGGGGGCAUCCACCACGGAGGGCUUCUACAUCAACACCAUAGCCCCUCCGAUGAAGUGUGAGUAGUUUACUUUAGACAUUCGGGUCCAUAGCUAGUAGCUAGAUGGCUUCUUCUCUCUUUUUGGAUCUCAAUACAAUGUUCUCCCCCUCUCUCAUGGAGAUCUAUUCGAUGUAAUCUUCUUUUUGCGGUGUGUUUGUUGAGAUCGAUGAAUUGUGGGUUUAUGAUCCAGCUUAUCUAUGAAUAAUAUUUGAAUCUUUUCUGAAUUCUUUUAUGUAUGAUUGAGUUAUCUUUGCAAGUCUCUUCGAAUUAUCCGUUUGGUUUGGCCAACUAGAUUGGUAGUUCUUGCAAUGGGAGAAGUGCAUGGCUUUGGGUUCAAUCUUGCGGUGUCCUUACUCAGUGACAAAAGGUGUUGCAAGGCACAUAUUGUAUUGUUGCCAUCAAGGAUAACAAGAUGCGGUAUUUAUCAUAUUGCAUGAAUUUAUUCCUCUACAUCAUGUCAUCUUGCUUAAGGCGUUACUCUGUUUUUAACUUAAUACUCUAGAUGCAUGCUGGAUAGCGGUCGAUGAGUGGAGUAAUAGUAGUAGAUGCAGAAUCGUUUCGAUCUACUUGUCACGGACGUGAUGCCUAUAUACAUGAUCAUACCUAGAUAACCUCAUAACUAUGCUCAAUUCUAUCAAUUGCUCAACAGUAAUUUGUUCACCCACCAUAGAAUAUCUAUGCUCUUGAGAGAAGCCACUAGUGAAACCUAUGGCCCCCGGGUCUAUUCUCAUCAUAUAAAUCUCCAUCACUUUAUUUACUUGCUUUGCUUUUACUUUUUACUUUGCAUCUUUAUACCAAAAAUACCAAAAAUAUUAUCUCUAUCAGAUCUCACUCUCGUAAGUGACCGUGAAGGGAUUGACAACCCCUAAUCGCGUUGGUUGCGAGUAGCUAUCGUUUUGUGUAGGUACGAGGGACUUGCGCGUGACCUCCUACUGAAUUGAUACCUUGGUUCUCAAAAACUGAGGGAAAUACUUACGCUACUGUGCUGCUUCAUCCUCUCCUCUUCGGGGAAAACCAACGCAAGCUCGAGACGUAGCAAGAAGGAUUUCUGGCGCCGUUGCCGGGGAGGCUUACGCAAAAGUCAACAUACCAAGUACCCAUCGCAAUCCCUAUCUCUCGCAUUACAUUAUUUGCCAUUUGCCUCUCGUUUUCCUCUCCCCCACUUCACCCUUGCCGUUUUAUUCGCCCUCUCUUUCCCAAUCUCCUCCUCUUUUUCCUUUGCCUUUUUUCUCGUCCGUUUGUUUGCUCGUGUGUUAGUUUGUUUGCUUGCCGUCAUGACUAGUCUCAUAUCUUUUCCAUUAUCUCCCGAGAAUGAAGUUCUAAAUUUUAAGCAAAGGGAGGGAGAAAAUCUAAAAGAUGCUUGGUAUAGAAUUUGCAAUGCUCAAAAUAGAUCUACCAGGAAGCAAUCUACUUUAGUUCUUCUUCAUAAUUUUUAUGUAGGUGCUAAUCCUUGGUAUAGAUAUAUCCUUGAUACCAUUACCGGAGGGAAUUUCUUGGGUAGCCAUACUUUUGACUCUUAUAAUGCUUUAAUAGAUUUGUUUGGCUCACCUCCUCUUUUGGUUAAUGGAACUAUAUUAACUUUGGAGCAUGUUAUGCAAAGGCUUGAAAUUAUUGAAAAUAAAGUUGCUACCAUUGAAUCCAUUGAAAAUCUAGAUAAAAAGAUACAUAAUCAAAUUACUCAAUAUGGAUCUAAGGUAGGAAUGACUUUGAAAAAUAUUAAGGAGAAGGAACCCAUGGUUAAUGCGAAAAUAAAUCUAGAUUCCACUCGAAUCGAUAAACUUGAGGGUAUCAUUACCAACUUGGGAACCGCUUUUUCUUCUGUAAAGAAUACUCCUAGUCCUCCCACUAAAAUUGCCAAGCUUAUGUAUGUUCCUAAAAAUAAGGGUGAAUGAUCUAGUAAGGAAAAUGCGGAUCUUAAAUCUAUAAGUAUUCAUCCCGAUCUUUUUACUAUCAUUAAGGAACCAUUUGCUACGAAUGAAUUUUUCGAUCUUGUGCCUAAAAAUUUGAUAAUUACUAGAAAGAAAGAAAAUUCUAAAGGAGGUAGAUGCCUCAUUGAAGAAUUGCCUACCAAAGAUGCAAUACCUAGAUCUAUCCUUGCUUUUAUGCCUAGCUAGGGGCGUUAAACGAUAGCGCUUGUUGGGAGGCAACCCAAUUUUUUUGUGUUUUUUGUUUUUGCUUCUGUUUAGGAAUAAAUAAUCCAUCGACCUUCUGUUUGGAUGUGGUUUUAUGUUUUAAUUAGUGUUUGUGCCAAGUAGGACCUAUAGGAUAACCUACGAUGAUAGUUGAUUUGAUUCUGCUGAAAAACAGAAACUUUGCACGCACGAAUAUAAUUAUGAUAAAUUACAGGAACGUGCUUUUGCGUUGAUUCUUUUUGCUGCUGAUCAAUAAACAAAAUUUCCAGAACUUCCUAUUUUGGUAGAAUUUUUAGAGUUCCAUAAGUUUGCGUUAGUUACAGAUUGCUACAGACUGUUCUGUUUUUGACAGAUUCUGUUUUGCGUGUGUUGUUUGCUUAUUUUGAUGAAUCUAUGGGUAGUAAAAUAGGUUAUAAUCCAUAGAGAAGUUGGAAUACAGUAGGUUUAACACCAAUAUAAAUAAAUAAUGAGUUCAUUACAGUACCUUAAAGUAGUCUUUUGUUUUCUUUCUCUAACGGAGCUCACGAGAUUUCUAUUGAGUUUUGUGUUGUGAAGUUUUCAAGUUUUGGGUGAAUUCUUUUGAUGGCUUAUGGAACAAGGAGUGGCAAGAGCCUAAGCUUGGGGAUGCCCAUGGCACCCCCAAGAUAAUCCAAGGACACCAAAAAGUCAAAGCUUGGGGAUGCCCCGGAAGGCAUCCCCUCUUUCGUCCACUUCCAUCGGUAAUUUACUUGGAGCUAUAUUUUUAUUCACCAACAUGAUAUGUGUUUUGCUUGGAGCGUCUUGUAUUAUUUGCAUCUUUGCUUGUUAGUUUACCACAAUCAUCCUUGCUGUACACACCUUUUGAGAGAGCCAUACAUGAAUUGAAAUUUGUGAGAAUACUCUAUGUGCUUCACUUAUAUCUUUUGAGCUUGAUAGUUUGCUCAUAGUGCUUCACUUAUAUCUGCUGAGCGUGAUAAUUUUUGCUCUAGUGCUUCACUUAGAUCUUUUAGAGCACGGUGGUGGAUUUGUUUUAAACAAACUUGAUCUCUCAUGCUUCACUUAGAUUAUUUUGAGAGUUGUUAAUAGCAUGGUAAUUUGUUUAAUGUUAACAUACUUGGUAUUCAAGAUAUGUGAAACUUUCUUUUGAGUGCGUUGAAUACUAAGAUAAGUUUGAUGCUUGAUAAUUGUUUUGAGAUAUGAAGGUGAUAAUAUUAGAGUCAUGCUAGUUGAGUAGUUGUGAAUUUAAAGAAUACUUGUGUUGAAGUUUGUGAUUCCCGUAGCAUGCACGUAUGGUGAACCGUUAUGUGAUGAACUCGGAGCAUGAUUUAUUUAUUGAUUGUCUUCCUUAUGAGUGGCGGUCGGGGACGAGCGAUGGUCUUUUCCUACCAAUCUAUCCCCCUAGGAGCAUGCGCGUAAUACUUUGCUUUGAUAAUUUUGAGAUUUUUGCAAUAAGUAUAUGAGUUCUUUAUGACUAAUGUUGAGUUCAUGGAUUAUACGCACUUUUUCCCAUCCUUCCACCAUUGCUAGACUCUCUAAUACCGUGCACCUUUCGCCGGUAUCAUACACCCACCAUAAACCUUCCUCAAAACAGCCACCAUACCUACCUAUCAUGGCAUUUCCAUAGCCAUUCCGAGAUAUAUUGCCAUGCAACUUUCCACCGUUCCGUUUAUUAUCACACGCUCCAUCAUUGUCAUAUUGCUAGCAUGAUCAUGUAGUUGACAUCGUAUUUGUGGCAAAAGCCACCUUUCAUAAUUGUUUCAUACAUGUCACUUAUGUUUCAUUGCAUAUCCCGGUACACCGCCGGAGGCAUUCAUAUAGAGUCAUAUUUUGUUCUAAGUAUCGAGUUGUAAUUGUUGAGUUGUAAGAAAAAUAAAAGUGUGAUGAUCAUCAUUAUUAGAGCAUUGUCCCAAGUGAGGAAAGGAUGAUGGAGUCUAUGAUUCCCCCACAAGUCGGGAUGAGACUCCGCACGAAAAAAAGAGGCCAUAAAAAGAAGAAGAGAAAAGGCCCAAAUAAAAUAAAAAAAUGAGAGAAAAAGAGAGAAGGGACAAUGCUACUAUCCUUUUACCACACUUGUGCUUCAAAGUAGCACCAUGAUCUUCAUGAUAGAGAGUCUCUCAUUUCGUCACUUUCAUAUACUAGUGGGAAUUUUUCAUUAUAGAACUUGGCUUGUAUAUUCCAAUGAUGGGCUUCCUCAAAAUGCCCUAGGUCUUCGUGAGCAAGCGAGUUGGAUGCACACCCACUUAGUUUCUUUUGUUGAGCUUUCAUAUACUUAUAGCUCAAGUGCAUCCGUUGCAUGGCAAUCCCUACUCACUCACGUUGAUAUCUAUUGAUGGGCAUCUCCAUAGCCCGUUGAUACGCCUAGUUGAUGUGAGACUAUCCUCCCUCUUUUUGUCUUCUCCACAACCACCGUUCUAUUCCACAUAUAGUGCUAUAUCCAUGGCUCACGCUCAUGUAUUGCGUGAAGAUUGAAAAAGUUUUGAAAAUGUUAAAGUAUGAAACAAUUGCUUGGCUUGUCAUCGGGGUUGUGCAUGAUUUAAAUACUUUGUGUGGGGAAGAUGGAGCAUAGCCAGACUAUAUGAUUUUGUAGGGAUAACUUUCUUUGGCCAUGUUAUUUUGGGAAGACAUAAUUGCUUUGUUAGUAUGCUUGAAGUAUUAUUAUUUUUAUGUCAAUAUGAACGUUUGUCUUGAAUCUUUUAGAUCUGAAUAUUCAUACCAUGAUUAAGAAGAUUUACAUUGAAAUUAUGCCAAAGUAUCACUCCGCAUCAAAAAUUCUCUUUUUAUCAUUUACCUACUCGAGGACGAGUAGGAAUUAAGCUUGGGGAUGCCUGAUACGUCUUCAACGUAUCUAUAAUUUUUGAUUGCUCCAUGCUACUUUAUCUAUUGUUUUGGACUAUAAUGGGCUUUAUUUUCCACUUUUAUAUUAUUUUUGGGACUAACCUAUUAACCGGAGGCCCAGCCCAGAAUUGUUGUUUUUUGCCUAUUUCAGUAUUUUGAAGAAACAGAAUAUCAAACGGAGUCCAAACGGAAUGAAACCUUCGGGAACGUGAUCUUCUCACCGAACGUGAUCCGGGAGACUUGGACCCUACUCCAAGAAGCACCAUAGGCGGUCACGAGGGUGGAGGGUGCGCCCCCCUAGGCGCGCCCCCUACCUCGUGGGCCCCCAGACGCUCCACCGACGUACUCCUUCCUCCUAUAUAUACCUACUAUCCCCAAUAGACUAGAGACGGAGCCAAAAACCUAAUUCCACAGCCGCAACCUUUUGUAUCCACGAGAUCCCAUCUUGGGGCCUGUACCGGAGCUCCGCCGGGGGGGGGGGCAUCCAGCACGGAGGGCUUCUACAUCAACACCAUAACCCCUCCGAUGAAGUGUGAGUAGUUUACUUCAGACCUUCGGGUCCAUAGCUAGUAGCUAGAUGGCUUCUUCUCUCUUUUUGGAUCUCAAUACAAUGUUCUCCCCCUCUCUCGUGGAGAUCUAUUCGAUGUAAUCUUAUUUUUGCGGUGUGUUUGUUGAGACCGACGAAUUGUGGGUUUAUGAUCCAGCUUAUCUAUUUGAAUCUUUUCUGAAUUCUUUUAUGUAUGAUUGAGUUAUCUUUGCAAGUCUCUUCGAAUUAUCCAUUUGGUUUGGCCAACUAGAUCGGUAGUUCUUGCAAUGGGAGAAGUGCAUGGCUUUGGGUUCAAUCUUGCGGUGUCCUUACUCAGUGACAGAAGGAGUUGCAAGGCAUGUAUUGUAUUGUUGCCAUCAAGGAUAACAAGAUGGGGUAUUUAUCAUAUUGCAUGAGUUUAUUCCUCUACAUCAUGUCAUCUUGCUUAAGGCGUUACUCUGUUUUUAACUUAAUACUCUAGAUGCAUGCUGGAUAGCGGUCGAUGAGUGGAGUAAUAGGAGUAGAUGCAGAAUCGUUUCGAUCUACUUGUCAUGGACGUGAUGCCUAUAUACAUGAUCAUACCUAGAUAACCUCAUAACUAUGCUCAAUUCUAUCAAUUGCUCAACAGUAAUUUGUUCACCCACCGUAGAAUAUCUAUGCUCUUGAGAGAAGCCACUAGUGAAACCUAUGGCCCCCGGGUCUAUUCUCAUCAUAUAAAUCUCCAUAACUUUAUUUACUUGCUUUGCUUUUACUUUUUACUUUGCAUCUUUAUACCAAAAAUACCAAAAAUAUUAUCUCUGUCAGAUCUCACUCUUGUAAGUGACCGUGAAGGGAUUGACAACCCUAAUCACGUUGGUUGCGAGUAGCUAUCGUUUUGUGUAGGUACGAGGGACUUGCGCGUGACCUCCUACUGGAUUGAUACCUUGGUUCUCAAAAACUGAGGGAAAUACUUAUGCUACUGUGCGGCUUUAUCCUCUCCUCUUCGGGGAAAACCAACGCAAGCUCAAGACGUAGCACCCACCCCUCCUGGGCGCCCCCCUGUCUCCUGGGCCCCACGAGCGGCCACCGACGUACCUCUUCCUCCUAUAUAUACCUACGUACCCCAAAAACAUCCAGGGAGCCAACAAAAAACAAUUUCCACCACCGUAACCUUUUGUAUCCGCGAGAUUCCAUCUUGGAGCCUUCGUCGGCGCUCCGCUGGAGGGGGAAUCAACCAUGGAGGGCUUCUACAUCAACACCAUAGCCCCUCCGAUGAGUUGUGAGUAGUUUACCACAGACCUUCGGGUCCAUAGUUAUUAGCUAGAUGGCUUCUUCUCUCUUUUUGGAUCUCAAUACAAUGUUCUCCCCCUCUCUUGUAUAGAUCUAUUCGAUAUAAUCUCUUUUUGCAGUGUGUUUGUCGAGAUCCGAUGAAUUGUGGGUUUAUGAUCAAGUUUAUCUAUGAGAAAUCUUUGAAUCUCCUCUGAAUUCUUUUAUGUAUGAUUGAGUUAUCUUUGCAAGUCUCUUCGAAUUAUCAGUUUGGUUUGGCCUACAAGAUUGAUCUUUCUUUCCAUGGGAGAAGUGCUUAGCUUUGGGUUCAAUCUUGCGGUGUCCUUACCCAGUGACAAAAAGGGUUGCAAGGCACGUAUUGUAUUGUUGCCAUCGAGGAUAAAAAGAUGGGGUUUAUAUUAUAUUGCUUGAGUUUAUCCCUCUACAUCAUGUCAUCUUUCUUAAUGCGUUACUCUGUUCUUAUGAACUUAAUACUCUAGAUGCAUGCUGGAUAGCGGUCGGUGUGUGGAGUAAUAGUAGUAGAUGCAUGCAGGAGUCGGUCUACUUGUCACGGACGUGAUGCCUGUAUACAUGAUCAUGCCUAGGUAAUCUCAUAAUUAUUCGCUUUUCUAUCGAUUGCUCGAUAGUAAUUUGUUUACCCACCGUAAUACUUAUGCUAUCUCGAGAGAAGCCACUAGUGAAACCUAUGGCCCCCGGGUCUAUCUUUUAUCAUAUAAGCUUUCAAUCUACUUUUAUUUGCAUCUAUAUUAUAAAAUACCAAAAAUAUAUUUAUCUUAUCAUACUAUCUCUAUCAGAUCUCACUUUCACAAGUGGCCGUGAAGGGAUUGACAACCCCUUUAUUGCGUUGGUUGCGAGUUCUUUGCUUGUUUGUGUAGGUGCGUGGGACUUUUGAGGAGCCUCCUACUGGAUUGAUACCUUGGUUCUCAAAAACUGAGGGAAAUACUUACGCUACUAUUGCUGCAUCACCCUUUCCUCUUCAAGGAAAACCAACGCAAGCUCAAGACAUAGCAAGAAGGAUUUCUGGUGCUGUUGCCAGGGAGGUCUUCGCUCAAGUCAAAACAUACCAAGUACCCAUCAUAAACUCACCUCCCUCGCAUUUACAUUAUUUGCCAUUUGCCUCUCGUUUUCCUCUCCCCCACUUCACCCUUGCCGUUUUAUUCGCCCUCUCUUUCCCAAUCUCUCUCUCUCUCUUUUUCGCUUGCCUUUUUCUGUUUGCUUGUGUGUUGGAUUACUUGUUGCCAUGGCGCAAGAUAAUACCAAAUUCUGUGAUUUCUCCAAUACCAAUAAUAAUGAUUUCCUUAGUACUCCUAUUGCUCCUCUUAAUGAUGUGGAGUCUUGUGAAAUCAAUACUGCUUUGCUGAAUCUUGUUAUGAAAGAUCAAUUCGUCGGCCUUCCUAGUGAAGAUGUCGCUACUCAUCUAAACAACUUUGUUGAUUUGUGUGAUAUGCAAAAGAAGAAAGAUACGGAUAAUGAUAUUGUUAAAUUGAAGUUAUUUCCGUUUUCACUUAGAGAUCAUGCUAAAGUUUGGUUUUCGUAUUUGCCUAAAAAUAGUAUUGAUUCUUGGAACAAGUGCAAAGAUGCUUUUAUCUCUAAGUAUUUUCCUCCCGCUAAGAUCAGCUCUCUUAGGAAUGAUAUUAUGAAUUUUAAACAACUUGAUCAUGAGCAUGUUGCCCAAUCUCGGGAAAGAAUGAAAUUGAUGAUUCGCAAUUGCCCUACUCGUGGUUUGAAUUUAUGGAUGACCAUACAAAAUUUUUAUGCCGGUUUGAACUUUGCUUCUAGAAAUCUUUUAGAUUCGGCCGCGGGAGGCACGUUUAUGGAAAUCACGUUAGGAGAUGCUACAAAACUUCUUGAUAAUAUUAUGGCUAAUUAUUCUCAAUGGCACACCGAAAGAUCUUCUAGUAAAAAAGUGCAUGCUAUAGAAGAAAUCAAUGUUUUGAGUGGAAAGAUGGAUGAACUUAUGAAAUUAUUUGCUACUAAGAGUGAUCCUCUUGAUCCCAAUGAUAUGCCUUUGUCUACUUUGAUUGAGAAUAAUAAUGAAUCUAUGGAUGUGAAUUUUGUUGGUAGGAAUAGUUUUGGAAACAAUGCUUAUAGAGGAAACUUUAAUCCUAGACCUUUCCCUAGUAAUCCCUCUAAUAAUUAUGGAAAUUCCUACAAUAAUUCUUCUAGUAAUUUUAAUAAUAUGCCCUCUGAUUUUGAGAAUAGUGUGAAAGAAUUUAUGAUUUCUCAAAAGAAUUUUAAUGCUUUGCUUGAAGAAAAAUUUCUCAAAGUUGAUGAUUUGGCUAGGAACAUUGAUAGACUUUCGCUUGAUGUUGAUUCUCUUAAACUUAGAUCUACUCCUCCUAAGCAUGAUAUCAAUGAGUCUCUCAAAGCCAUGAGAAUUUCCAUUGAUGAGUGCAAGGAAAGAACCGCUAGAUUGCGUGCUAAGAAGGAUUGCUUUGUAAAGGCGUGUUCUUCUAGUUUCCAUGAAAAUAAUGAUGAAGAUCUUAAAGUUAUUGAUGUGUCUCCUAUUAGAUCUUUGUUUUGCAAUAUGAAUCUUGAUAAUAAUGGGACUGGAGAUGAGUCGACUUUAUUUAGAAAGCAUCCCAAGAAUUUGGAGUUUUUAGAUCUUGAUGCUAAAUUUGGUAAAAGUGGGAUUGGAGAGGUCAUGACUUUAAAUAGUAUUGAACCCACUAUCUUGGAUUUCAAGGAAUUUGAUUAUGAUAAUUGUUCUUUAGAAGGUUGUAUUUCCUUGUUGCAAUCCGUUGUUAAUUCUCCUCAUGCUUAUAGUCAAAAUAAAGCUUUUACCAAACAUAUCGUUGAUGCCUUGAUGCAAUCUUAUGAUGAAAAACUUAAUUUGGAAGUUUCUAUACCUAGAAAACUUAAUGAUGAGUGGGAACCUACUAUAAAGAUUAGAAUUAAAGAUCAUGAGUGUUUUGCUUCGUGUGAUUUGGGUGCUAGUGUUUCCACGAUUCUGAAACUUUAUGUGAUAUUCUAGGUUUCCAUGAUCUUGAUGAUUGCUCUUUAAAUUUGCACCUUGCGGAUUCCACCAUUAAAAAGCCAAUGGGAAGGAUCAAUGAUGUUCUCAUCGUUGCAAAUAGAAAUUUGGUGCCCGUAGAUUUUAUCGUUCUUGAUAUAGAUUGCAAUCUUUCUUGCCCUAUUAUUCUUGGUAGACCUUUCCUUAUAACAAUUGGUGCGAUUAUUGAUAUGAAGGAAGGGAAUAUUAGAUUCCAAUUUCCCUUAAAGAAAGGCAUGGAGCACUUUCCAAGAAAGAAAGUCAAAUUAUCUUAUGAAUCUAUCAUGCGAGCUACUUAUGAAUUGAGUGCCAAAGAUGGCACUACUUAGAUCUAUCUUCGCUUUUAUGCAUAGCUAGGGGCGUUAAACGAUAGCGCUAGUUGGGAGGCAACCCAAUUUUAUUUGUGUUUUUUUGUUUGUUUUUGUUUCUGUUUAGUAAUAAAUUUUGCAUCUACGUUCUGUUUAGAUGUGUUUUUAUGUUUUUAUGUUUUAAUUAGUGUUUGUGCCAAGUAGAACCUAUAGGAUGACCUAUGAUGAUAGUUGAUUUGAUUCUUCUGAAAAACAGAAACUGCGCGCACGAAAUUAGUUUUGUUAAAUCACAGAAACGUGCUUUUGCGUUGAUUCUUUUUUCUACCGAUCAAUACAAAUUGUCCAGGACUUCCUAUUUUGGUAGGAUUUUUAGAGUUUCAGAAGUUUGCGUUAGUUACAGAUUGCUACAGACUGUUCUGUUUUUCACACAUUCUAUUUUCGUGUGUUGUUUGCUUAUUUUGAUGCAUCUAUGGCUAGUAGUAAGUGGUAUGAACCAUAGAGAACUUGGAAUACAGUAGGUUUAACACCAAAAUAAAUAAAUAAUGAGUUCAUUAAGUACCUUAUGUGGUGGUUUUGUUUUCCUUCACUAACGGAGCUUAUAAGAUUUCCUGUUGAGUUUUGUGUUGUGAAGUUUUCAAGUUUUGGGUAAAGCUUUGAUGGACUAUGGAAUAAGGAGUGGCAAAAGCCUAAGCUUGGGGAUGCCCAUGGCACCCCAAGAUAUUCAAUAAUAGCCAAAAUCCUAAGCUUGGGGAUGCCCCGGGAAGGCAUCCCCUCUUUCGUCUUCGUUCAUUGGUAACUUUAUUUGGAGCUAUAUUUUUAUUCGACACAUGAUAUGUGUUUUGCUUAGAGCGUCGUGUAUUAUACUAGUCUUUGCUUUUUAGUUUACCACAAUCAUCCUUGCUGUACACACCUUUUGGGAGAAGCCUACUUGAUUGAAUUUAUUAGAAUAUGCUAUGUGCUUCACUUAUAUCUUUUGAGCUUGAUAGUUUUUGCUCUAGUGCUUCACUUAUAUCUUUUAGAGCACAGCGGUGGCCUAAUUUUGUAGAAAUUGCUAGUCUCUCAUGCUUCACUUAUAUUAUUUUGAGAGUCUUUUAGAACAGCAUGGUAUUUGCUAUGGUUAUAAAUUGGUCCUAGAAUGGUAGGCAUCCAAGUUGGGUAUAAUAAAAACUAUCAUAGGAAGUGAAUUGGAUGCUAUGAUCAAUCUGAUACUUGAUAAUUGUUUUGAGAUAUGGAGGUAGUGAUAUUAAAGUCAUGCUAGUUUGGUGAUUAUGAAUUUAAAUAAUGCUUGUGUUGAAGUUAGCAAGUCCCAUAGCAUGCACGUAUGGUUAAAGUUGUGUAACAAAUUUGAAACAUGAAGUGUACCUGGCUUGUGCAUCCUUAUGAGUGGCGGUCGGGGACGAGCGAUGGUCUUUUCCUACCAAUCUAUCCCUCUAGGAGCAUGCGCGUAGUGCUUGAUUUUUGAUGACUUCUAAAUUUUUGCAAUAAGUAUAUGAGUUCUUUUGACUAAUGUUGAGUCCAUGGAUUAUACGCACUUUUACCUUUCCACCAUUGCUAGCCUCUUCGGUACUGUGCAUUGCCCUUUGUUACCUUGAGAGUUGGUGCAAACUUCACUGGUUCAUCCAAACCCCGUGAUAUGAUAUGCUCUAUCACACAUAAACCUACUUAUAUCUUCCUCAAAACAGGCACCAUACCUACCUAUUAUGGCAUUUCCAUAUCCAUUCCGAGAUAUAUUGCCAUGCAACUUUCCACCGUUCCGUUCAUCAUCAUGACAUACUUUACUUUUGUCAUAUUGCCAUUGCAUGAUCAUGUAGUUGACAUAGUAUUUGUGGCAAAGCCACCAUGCAUAAUUUUUCAUACAUGUCACUCUUGAUUCAUUGCACCAUCCCGGUACACCGCCGGAGGCAUUCAUGUAGAGUCAUAUCUUGUUCUAGUUUCGAGUUGUAAUUCAUAUGUUGUAAUCAAUGAAAGUGUGAUCAUCAUCAUUAUUGGAGCAUUGCACAAAAAAAGAAAAAAAAGGGAAAAAGGGGUAAUGUUACUAUCUCUUUUUCCACACUUGUGCUUCAAAGUAGCACCUUGUUCUUCAUGUAGUGAGUCUCAUAUCUUGUGCUUCAAAGUAGCACCAUGUUUUUCAUAUAGUGAGUCUCAUAUGUUGUCACUUUCAUAUACUAGUGGGAGUUUUUCAUUAUAGAACUUGGCUUGUAUAUUCCUACGAUGGGCUUCAUCAAAUGCCCUAGGUCUUUGUGAGCAAGCAAGCUGGAUGCACACCCAAUAGUUUUCUUUUGUUGAGCAUUCAUUUAUAGCUCUAGUGCAUCCGUUGCAUGGCAAUCCCUACUCCUCAUGUUGACAUCAAUUGAUGGGCAUCUCCAUAGUGCGUUGAUUAUCCUCGUCAAUGUGAGACUUUCUCCUUUUUUGUCUUCUCCACACAAUCCCCAUCAUCAUAUUCUAUUCCACCCAUAGUGCAAUAUCCAUGGCUCACGCUCAUGUAUUGCGUGAAGGUUGAAAAAGUUUGAGAUUAUUUAAGUACGAAACAAUUGCUUGGCUUGUCAUCGGGGGUGUAGAAUUUGGGAACAUCUUUGUGUGACAAAAAUGAAGCAUAGCCUAACUAUAUGAUUUUGUAGGGAUGAACUUUCUUUAGCCAUGUUAUUUUGAGAAGACAUGAUUCCUUUGAUUAGUAUGCUUGAAGUAUUACUAUUUCUUUUAUCAAUAUGACCUUUAUUUUGAAUCACCACAAUAAAGAAAAUCACAUUGAGAAUUAUGCUAGGUAGUAUUCCACAUCAAAAAUUCUGUUUUUAUCAUUUACCUACUCGAGGACGAGCAGGAAUUAAGCUUGGGGAUGCUUGAUACAUCUCCAAUGUAUCUAUAAUUUUUUAUUGUUCCAUGCUAUUAUAUUACCCCUUUUGGAUGUUUAUGGGCUUUAUUUUACACAUUUAUAUCAUUUUUGGGACUAACCUACUAACCGGAGGCCCAGCCCGUAUUGCUGUUUUUUUGCCUAUUUCAGUAUUUCGAAGAAAAGGAAUAUCAAACGGAGUCCAAAAGGAAUGAAACCUUCGGGGGCGUGAUUUUGGAACGAACGUGAUCUGGAGAACUUGGAGUGCAAGUCAAGAAGCAAUUGAGGCGGCUAGGAGAUAGGAGGGCACGCCCACCCCUCCUGCGCUCCCUUGUCUCCUAGGCCCCACAAGCGGCCACCGACGUACCUCUUCCUCCUAUAUAUACCUACAUACCCCGAAAACAUCCAGUGAGCCAACGAAAAACAAUUUCCACCGCCGUAACCUUCUGUAUCCGCGAGAUCCCACCUUGGAGCCUUUGUUAGCGCUCCGCCGGAGGGGGAAUCGACCAUGGAGGGCUUCUACAUCAACACCAUAGCCCCUCCGAUGAGUUGUGAGUACUUUACCACAGACCUUCGGGUCCAUAGUUAUUAGCUAGAUGGCUUCUUCUCUCUUUUUGGAUCUCAAUACAAUGUUCUCCCCCUCUCUUGUGGAGAUCUAUUCGAUGUAAUCUCUUUUUGCGGUGUGUUUGUCGAGAUCCGAUGAAUUGUGGGUUUAUGAUCAAGUUUAUAUAUGAGAAAUCUUUGAAUCUCCUCUGAAUUCUUUUAUGUAUGAUUGAGUUAUCUUUGCAAGUCUCUUCGAAUUAUGUGUUUGGUUUGGCCUACUAGAUUGAUCUUUCUUGCCAUGGGAGAAGGGCUUAGCUUUGGGUUCAAUCUUGCGGUGUCCUUACCCAGUGACAGAAAGGGUUGCAAGGCACGUAUUGUAUUGUUGCCAUCAAGGAUAAAAAGAUGGGGUUUAUAUCAUAUUGCUUGAGUUUAUCCCUCUACAUCAUGUCAUCUUUCUUAAUGUGUUACUCUGUUCUUAUGAACUUAAUACUCUAGAUGCAUGCUGGAUAGCGGUCGAUGUGUGCAGUAAUGGUAGUAGAUGCAGGCAGGAGUCGGUCUACUUGUGUCGGAUGUGAUGCCUGUAUACAUGAUCAUGCCUAGAUAAUCUCAUAAUUAUUCGCUUUUCUAUCAAUUGCUCGACAAUAAUUUGUUCACCCACCGUAAUACUUAUGCUAUCUCGAGAGAAGCCACUAGUGAAACCUAUGGCCCCCGGGUCUAUCUUUUAUCAUAUAAGCUUUCAAUCUACUUUUAUUUGCAUCUUUACUUUUUGCAUCUAUAUUAUAAAAUACCAAAAAUAUAUUUAUCUUAUCAUACUAUCUCUAUCAGAUCUCACUUUCGCAAGUGGCCAUGAAGGGAUUGACAACCCCUUUAUUGCAUUGGUUGCGAGUUCUUUGUUUGUUUGUGUAGGUGCGUGGGACUUUUGAGGAGCCUCAUACUGGAUUGAUACCUUGGUUCUCAAAAACUUAGGGAAAUACUUAUGUUACUAUUGUUGCAUCACCCUUUCCUCUUCAAGGAAAACCAACGCAAGCUCAAGACGUAGCAGCUGCGCCAAGUGUGAGUAUCGUCAUAACAUUUAGUCAGUUUAAAAGAUUAACACACAUAUCACUUUCGGGUAUGUAGUAGUGCCGCAUACCUUGGGUUUCGUUAAACCGCUUGUUGAUGCAGUCGAGUUCCUCAUCGAAUAGCCGAAGCUUCUUAUUGAGCUUGGCAACCUUUGCGGCCUGGGCAGUCGCCGCCAGCAUAGAAGCCGGUCCAAUAACAUAGGACGAUACAUUGUCACUUUGUUUUUUAUCCUCUAUCUUGAUUGUUCUAAUCCGGAUAGAGUCUCAGCGGCUACUGUCUAUACACAGGUUCAACCUUAUAUAUAUACCAAAAAAAGAAAGCUUGUAAAGAGAAUUACAUCGCAUACCUCAAAGCCCGUCAGUAGGCUAUUGAAGGCUUCGUUCAGUCUGCUCUUCGCGGCCCGAACCUUUUCCAUAACCGCACCCAUCAGGGUGCGGUGUUCCUCCAUGGUGGACGCAUGUCACAGUGCUUCCUACAGAGUGUCAGCGGUCUCUGGAUUGACAUAGGCCACCGAUGGAGCCGCUGCUCCUCCCCCCUCUUUCGAAAGGGGGUGUCGGUCCGAACCCGGAGCCGUAUUGGUCUCUAGGAUGAUGUUCGGCGAGGGCCCAAACUAUUGAGCCCCCCCCCCCACCCUUGGUGGUCAUGCGGGUCAUUGUGCCUUGCUCUACAGUGUCCGAGGUGUUAUCCUCGGGCGCCUUCUGGACGUCCUCGUCCGCUCCUCCUCGGCCAGGAGAUGUCCUUUGGGAUGACACCUCGGUGUCUUCCAUGGCAGGGGGGAGAAGGCGUGCGAUGGUCCGUCACUCUCCACCUCUUCAGGUUCCAGAGAGUUCCCCUCUGAAGAAGAGGGAAUUGGGAUCUCGCGCGGAGGGCUGAAAGGCAAAGGAAAGCCUUGAUUCAUAAAACAAAGGCAGAUUAAGCAAUAACUGAACAAGUAAGUUUUCGAUACUUAUGUUUUGGCCAGGGGCUUCUCCCUUUGGAUCCUCUUCGGCCUGUGUUUGGACUCUGAGUCCAAACUAUCCGAGAGGACUACCCUCUCCUUCUUCAGUGUCGCUCCCUCCAGGUUCUUAGAGGUUGUCCUCUUCACCCUCCUCGUCUUGAGUGGGGAGUCGCUCUCCACUUCCUCCUCCUCCUCCUCUUCAUCAUCAUAUUCCUCGUAAGAGGAGACAGCCUCGGUCUCUCCAGAAACUGCAUCCGAAGAGCCUUUGUGACGGGGCCUGUCCUUGGGCCCCUUGCCCUUCUUCUUGAUUUUCUUCUCCUGCGACUGAUAGGGCGCCGGGACCAGCAUCUCCUCCAGCUGAGGAGUGACUGGGUCUUCGGGUAACAGAGCCGAACUCUUAAUCCGCUCCAACUUCUUGGUCCAUCCCUGCAAAAAGGUGGGCCGAUGAGUUUCGCAUUGAUCGAAUACAUAAACCAGAUAUAUCUUCGGAAAUUAAACACUUACCGGAGUGGCCAGAUUCUUGGCGUUGAGGCUGACGUCUUCAGUCUCCAUGGGCCAGCUCUUCUGCGCCUUGAAGAGCAGCUUCCACAUUCCCUCGUGUGUUGUGCCGAGGAAAUGCUGCAGAGUCCGCGGCUCCUCUGGAUUGAACUCCCACAUGGGGGAAGUCUGGCGCUGGCAAGGGAGGAUGCGGCGGAAGAGCAUAAUUUGCACUAUGUUGGUUAGACCAACGUUUUUGCUCAGCACAUUGGUGAUACGCAUUUGCAGCGUCUGCACCUCUGUCGGAGACCCCCAGUCGUGGCCCUUCGCGGUCCAGUAGACGAGCCACAUGCGGGGCCCGGAUCUGAAUUCCGGGAUCGCUGCCCACUUAGUGUGGUGCGACUCAGUGAUAUAAAAUCACUCUUGUUGCCAGAUCUUGAUGGUCUCCAUGAAGACCCCCUUGGGCCAUGUGGCGUUGGGCAGCCUGCUGAUCAUAGCUCUGCCGUAGUCCGCAUGCUGCCCGUCUACCACCUUCGGCUUCACAUUGAAGACCUUCAGCCACAUGCCGAAGUGUGGGUGGAUGCGGAGAAGAGCCUCACACACGACGAUAAACGCCGAGAUGUGGAGGAAAGAGUUUGGGGCUAGAUCAUGGAUAUCUAGCCCGUAGUAGAACAUAAGUCCAUGGACAAAUGGGUGGAGUCAAAAACCUAACCCUCUAAGGAAAUGAGGAAGGAAGACGACCCGCUCGCCGGGCUUCGGAGUGGGAAUGAUCCGACCCUUGGGGGAGCCUGUGCGCGAUGGUGGCGGUGAGGUAUCCCACACUCCGGAGAUCUUUUAUCUCCUUCUGGUGACGGAGGAGGCCUCCCACUUGCCAUUGGAACCGGAUCCGGCCAUGGUCGGAGGAGGUGGUGGUGGUGGUGAGAAAGACAGAAACUUUUCGGGCGCUGAGAGCUUUGGAGAUUGGAAGGCAGAGGAGACUGGAAGGCAUGGGGAAGAAAAGAGAAAUCUAUUGCCCUCUUAUAGGCGGUAAAAAUGCCAACCGUCCCCCCACUUGCGCCUUGACGCUUGCCUACUCCCAAUGAAAGUGUGUGCCGUAAACGGUUGGAUUGCCCAAAUUUUAUUGAUGAGCAAUCCCGUAUUAAGUGGGCAUGAUCUCUGAUUUGAUGGGACGGGCCAAUGGGGCUUGGCCUCGAAACAUGGAACACGGGAUGUAAAAAUGGUUCAAAACAUCGAAGGGUCAAGUCUGACGCUUCGUGAAAAAAGUUGUCAGUAAAAGACAUUAUUCUUAUUUUAUAUAUAUAUCCUGCCUUCGUGGCUAAGGGUUGUGUUAACUAUGCAAAGACGGAUACAAUUAUUUUAUAGAGGAAAACUGAUGUAUAUUAUUCAAGGAACCCGCUUCGCAAUGCCGAAGAUAAUCCGUGCGCCGAACACGUCGUCAUUGAAGACUGGUUCAGGGGCUACUGUGGGAGUCUUGGACUAGGGGUCCUCGGGCAUCCGGUCUAUUGGAUAUGGGCCGGAUUGAUGGGCCGUCAAGAUACAAGACAGAAGAUCGCCUAUUGUGUCCGGUAGGGACUCAUGUAUACAUGGAUCGCAAGUUUAGGUGCCCAGAUAUGUUAUUUCCUUUCUGUUUAACCGACUUUGUACAACCCUAAGCCCCUCCGGUGUCUAUAUAAACCGGAGGGUUAGAUCGGAGGCAGGAUCACAACAUUACUAAGCUGGGCAAACUAGGGUUAACCAAUACGAUCUCGUGGUAGAUCAACUGUUGUAACCCCUAUACCCUUCGAAUAUAGUCAAGCAGGAGUAGGGUUUUACCUCCAUUAAUAGGGCCCGAACCUAGGUAAACACUGUAUCCUUUUGAUCAUAGUUACCACCGAUCCUCAGACAUAUAGCUUGGCCCCCCUACCUAAUAUCUGCCGGUUUUGACACCGACGGAGGGGGCUCCUUCACUUGCUCCAAACAAUCUGACCAAUGGAUGCACAUUGCUACUUGUGAGCUACAUUGAGAAUUCCCUGAAGAUGAGAAGAUGAUGCAGUACAGUAGAGAUAAGUAUUUCCCCCAGUUAAGAACCAAGACUAUCAAUCCAGUAGGAGAACCACGCAACACCUCGUUAGCAUCACUACACACAAAAUAACAAAUACUUGCACCAAACGCGAACAAAAGGGGUUGCCAAUCCCUGGGCGGUUAAUUACAAGGAUCAAAUUUUCUAUAGAUAGAUAGAUAAAUAAAACACAAAAUAUAAUAAAGUAAAUAAAAUUGUAGCAAGAUAUUGUUGGUUUUUUAUAUAUGAUGAAAAUAGACCCGGUGGGCAUAGUUUUCACUAGAGGCUUCUCUAUUGAAAAUAGCAUACGGUGGGUAAACAAAUUACUAUUGGGCAAUUGAUAGAAAAGCGAAUAAUCAUGAUGAUAUCUAAGGUAAUGAUCAUGUAUAUAGGUAUCACGUCUGAGACAAGUAGACCGACUCCUGCCUGCAUCUACUAUUAUUACUCCACACAUCGACCACUAUCCAGCAUGCAUAUAGAGUAUUAAGUUCAUAAAGAAUGAAGUAGCGCCUUAAGCAAGAUGACAUGAUGUAGACAAAGUAAACUCACACAUGAAUAAACCCCAUCUUUUUUCAUCCUUAAUAGCAAUGAUACAAUACGUGUCACAUGUCUUUCUGUCACUGGGAUUGAGCACCACAAGAUCAAACCUAUUACAAGGCACCUCUCCCAUUACAAGAAAGAUCAAUCUACUUGGCCAAACCAAAUCAAUAGAUCGGAGAGAAAUACGAAGCUAUAAUAAUCGUGCAUAAAAGAGUUCAGAGAAGACUCAAAUAAUAUUCAUAGAUAAUCUGAUCAUAAACUCACAAUUCAUCGGAUCCCAACAAACACACCACAAAAAGUGAUUAUAUCAAAUAGAUCUCAAAUAACAUCAAGAAGAAUGUUGAAGAACAAAGAGAGAGAAGAAUGUUGUGAAACGUAGCAUGCAAUUUCAAAAAAAUUCUUAUGCGCAUGCACGAUCUAUCUAGGAGAUGCAUAGCAACGAGAGGGGGAGAAUGUGUCCACGUACCCUCAUUGACCAAAAGUGGAAGCGUUAACUUAACGCGGUUUAUGUAGUCGAACGUCUUCUUGAGUCAACCGAUCAAGUACCGAAUGUACGGCACCUCCGAGUUUUGCACACGUUCAGCUCGAUGACGUCCCUCGAACUCUUGAUCUAGAAGAGUGUCAAUGGAGUCGAUGAGUUCCAUCAGCACAACGGUGUGAUUACGGUUGAGGGAGUCCCGGACUAGGGGGUGUCCGGACAGCCGAACUAUCAUGAUCGACCGGACUCCAAGACUAUGAAGAUACAAGAUUGAAGACUUCGUCCCGUGUCCGGAUGGGACUUUCCUUGGCGUGGAAGGCAAGCUUGGCGAUACGGGUAUGUAGAUCUCCUACCAUUGUAACUGACUUUGUGUAACCCUAGCCCUCUCCGGUGUCUAUAUAAACCGGAUGGCUUUAGUCCAUAGGACGAACAACAAUCAUACCAUAGGCUAGCUUCUUGGGUUUAGCCUCCUUGAUCUCGUGGUAGAUCCACUCUUGUAACACACAUCAUCAAUAUUAAUCAAGCAGGACGUAGGGUUUUACCUCCAUCAAGAGGGCCCGAACCUGGGUAAAACAUCGUGUCCCUUGUCUCCUGUUACCAUCCACCUAGACGCACAGUUCGGGACCCCCUACCCGAGAUCCGCCGGUUUUGACACCGACAUUGGUGCUUUCAUUGAGAGUUCCUCUGUGCCGCCACUGAUAGGCUCGAUGGCUUCUUCGAUCAUCAUCAACGACAUAGUCCAGGGUGAGACCUUCCUCCCCAGACAAAUCUUUGUAUUCGGCGGCUUCGCACUGCGGGCCAAUUCGCUUGGCCAACUGGAGCAGAUCGAAAGCUAUGCCCCUGGCCGUCAGGUCAGAUUUGGAAGUUUGAACUUCACGGCUGACAUCCGCGGGGACUUGAUCCUCGAUGGAUUCGAGCCACAGCCGAGCAUGCCGCACUGUCACGGCGAGCAUGAUUUAGCUCUACAGCCAGACAGUACCCUGGAGGCCGCACUCGAACCCGCUCCGAUCUUCAAUGCGGAGCCGGCUGCGCAGAUCGAGGAUGGAUGGCUAGACACCGCCUCGGGGGCUGCAACCUCUACGGCGAUAGAGCCGAACACUGACCAUGUCCCUCAUAAAGCUCGUGACUCCGAACCUCCCGCGCCCCCUCCGAUCGAAUCCGAUCGGGCGCCGAUCAUGGAGUUCACCGCAGCGGACAUCUUCCAACACUCACCUUUUGGCGACAUCUUGAGUUCGCUAAAGUAUCUCUCGUUAUCAGGAGAGCCCUGGCCGGACUGCAGCCAGGACGGUUGGGAUGCGGACGACGAAGAAAUUCAAAGCCCACCCACCACCCACUUGGUAACCACUGUCGACGAUCUAACCGACAUGCUAGACUACGACUCCGAAGACAUCGACGGUAUGGACGACGAUGCCGGAGACGACCAAGAACCAGCACCUACCGGGCACUGGACAGCCACCUCAUCAUAUGGCAUAUACAUGGUGGAUAUCCCAAAGGAUGGGAAUGGCGAAGGAGCGGCGGAGAAUGACCCCUCCAAAAAACAGCCCAAGCGCCGACGUCAGCGGAGCCGCUCUAAAUCCCGCCACAACAAGAAUGGCGAUUCCGGCACCGGAGAUAAUAAUACCCCAGACAGUGCCGAAGACAACCCCCUCCAGCAAGAUUCAACGCAGGAGGACGGAGACGCCAGCCCUCAUGAGAGAGUGGCAGAAGAAGAGGUAGAGGAUUAUAUGCCUCCCUCCGGAGACGAGGCAAGCCUCGACGAUGACGAAUUCGUCGUGCCUGAGGAUCCCGUUGAACAAGAGCGUUUUAAACGCAAGCUUAUGGCCACGACAAACAGCCUCAAGAAAAAGCAGCAACAACUUAGAGCUGAUCAAGAUCUGCUAGCCGACAGAUGGACUGAAGUCCUCGCGGCCGAAGAGCAUGAGCUCGAACGCCCCUCCAAAAGCUACCCUAAAUGCAAGCUGCUCCCCCGAUUAGAGGAGGAGGCAUAUGAACCUACAUCACCAGCAGACAAUACGGCUGACCGACCACCCUGUGGUCGCGACAGAGAGACCUCUAGGCCCUUCACUAGAACCGUACCCCGGCAUCGCUCAAAAAGCACAAGGCCACAGGGGAACGCUCCGGACUUGUGAGAUAUAUUGGAGGAUAAGGCAAGACAAUCAAGAUCGAUCUAUGGAUCGCGUACUAUGUAUCCACUGUCUUAACUCCAUGCAAGUCCUGGUACCCACAUUUUCAAAAGAUAGCGUAUGCGGUGUUCAUGGCAUCCCGGAAGCUGCGACACUACUUUCAAGAGUGUUCCAUAACGGUGGCCUCCGAAGUACCUCUCAACGAUAUUAUAAACAAUUGCGACGCAACGGGCAGGAUUGCAAAAUGGGCCAUUGAGCUCUUACCAUUUGACAUAACCUACAAACCACGGCGAGCUAUAAAGUCGCAAGUCCUGGCUGACUUCGUCGCCGAAUGGACCGAAGCCGAACUCCCUAAAGAGUACGACGCGUACUCCAAUUGGAUCAUGCAUUUCUACGGAUCCAAAAUGUUGGCUGGCUUGGGGGCUGGCGUCGUCUUGACAUCCCCAACCGAAGACACAGUCCAAUACGUACUUCAAAUAAUGUUCAUGGACUCCUACAAUGCAGCCAAAUACGAGGCCCUUCUACAUGGCCUCCGGAUGGCAAUCUCCAUGGGCAUUCAACGCCUAGAGGUGCGCGGGGAUUCAAACCUCGCAAUAUCCCAAGUAAAUGGAGACUUUGACGCCAAAGAUCCGAAAAUGGUGGCCUACCGCAACGCCGUCCUAAAAAUGUCAGCUCGGUUCGAAGGACUCGAAUUCCACCAUGUAGCCCGGGAUAAUAACCAGGCAGCAGACGUGUUGGCACGCAUCGGCGCAAAACGCGACGCCGUCCCUCCGAACAUCUUCCUGGAACGGCUCUUUAAGCCAUCCGUAUUAUGGGAAGAGGAGUCCGGAAAUAACAAUCCGGAACCAGCUGCAUCACCUAACUCAGACAAUUCUGACACAAUCGGCGGCUCAGCCAAUGAAAUAACACCUUCAGCCCACGAAACAAUGGCAGUAAUUGCCCCGUGGACAGAACCAUUCCUAGCCUACUUAAUCAGGCAGGAACUCCCCGAAGACCAAAAUGAGGCCCGUUGCAUAGUUCGGCGAUCUAAAGCCUACAAGGUCCAUGAGGGAGAACUUUAUAAGAAAAGCACAACUGGAGUCCUUCAAAGGUGUAUCUCCGAAGAGGAAGGGCGAAAUCUCCUGGCUGAAAUUCACGCCGGACUCGGCAGGCACCACGCUGCAGCCCGGGCCCUUGUAGGCAAGGCCUUCCGUACAAGAUUUUAUUGGCCGACAGCCCGGGCAGAUGCUCAGGACUUAGUCCAACGAUGCGUCGGUUGCCAGCUCUUUGCUAAUCAGAGCCACAUGCCACCCACCGCCCUAAAAACUAUACCCAUUACCUGGUCGUUCGCGGUCUGGGGGCUUGACAUGGUUGGACCCCUUAAAGGGGGAACCCACAAGCACAAAUACUUAUUGGUCAUGGUGGACAAAUUCACCAAAUGGAUAGAGGCCAAGCCGGUUAAAAUGGAAGAAUCCAGACCUAUGAUAGACUACAUAUCCGGGGUAGUACACUGUUUUGGCGUCCCCCACAGCAUCAUCACUGAUAACGGCACGAAUUUCACGGCCGACGAGGUUAAACUCUGGUGCAAAAACAUGGGCAUCAAGCUCGACUACGCUUCAGUCUAUCACCCCCAAACUAACGGUCAAGUCGAGCGAGCAAAUGGUAUAAUCAUGAGCGGCAUCAAACCCAGACUAGUGCGGUCCCUCAAGGAAUCUAACACGCACUGGGUAGAGGAGCUCGACUCCGUACUCUGGGGGCUGCGGACCACGCCAAACCGCACUACUGGAUUCACACCAUUUUUUAUGGUGUACAGCGCAGAGGCAGUUCUGCCCUGCGAUAUAAUUCAUGACUCACCUCGCGUGCGCAUGUACGAAGAAAGAGAAGCCGAGUUGGAUCGGUAGGAAAGUUUGGAUGCCUUAGAGGAGGAGUGGGAGGUGGCAAAAGCUCGUUCCGCAUUCUAUCAGCAGCAGGCUCGAAGAUAUCAAAGCAGAGAAGUACGGGCCAAAACUUACAAUGUUGGCGAACUUGUUCUACGCCUGCCGGACAAGAAAAAGGACAAACUUAAGCCCAAGUGGGAAGGUCCCUUCAUCAUCGACCAAGUCCUGACCGGCGGAGCAUACCAUCUACGUAACGCAUCUGACAACCGACUCGAGCCAAACCCAUGGAACGCAACCCGUCUCCGAAGAUUCUACGCCUAACGCCGAACUCAGAGUUCGUCUCACUCCUCCAUCCCCCCUUUUAAAAUUUCACUGUCUCUUGUCCCCCUCCUUCUUCCCAAUUCUUUUUUCAAUACCUUUGAUAGGCUGAUUUGCGCAUUGUUCGCACACACUCGAUGUGCUCCUAGCACUCAUUAUACCUAGGGGCUUCUUUAACAGAAGCUUAUUUAUACGGGCUUCAUGCCCAAUACAUGUGUCAUACUUCUGCAUGUACCUUUUAUUCACCAUUAUAUGCAUCGAUAUGACUUAAGUUUUGGCCAAGCUGGGUUGCCUGGCUCCUGUGCUUACCCCUACAUUCCCGAUUGUUCGGCUAGGAGGUAAAGGGAGCACCUCUGCGAUUGUUACUGCCGGGUCAGCCGGAUGUGUACCUCAGACUGAGUGAAGUCGAAAGCUAGCGUUCUUAAGAGAAUAUUCGGCCGGUGACCUGAAAGAUGAUUUAUUACUUACUUAUUUAUCUACCCCCAGAUGCUUUUUCUGCUAUUUUCGCAAUCUGGACAUGCACCUUAGGGCAUGCCUCCCAGGGAAAGGAACCCCUAACGGAACUAUUCUCCCUGGAAGAUGUUUCUUACUAACCAUGUAAUAUAAUAUAACUAGUUGGGCACUUGUCUGAUAAAGCACUAAUGACCCCUAUGCCUGGUCUCCAUGCAUGCCCCGGUUUUUUCAUAACCGAGAAGGUAUUCGGACACACUCCGGACUCUAGGGUCCCGAGGUCGAAGCGAAAAGGUCGGCAAAGACAAACGAUCUACAAUCCGGCUAGAAGGCAUUUUACAUGUCAUUUUAAAAUUACAUCGUCAAACUGACUGAUUGUACUCCUCUUCAAUCCCAUCUAAUAGGCUGUCUAAUUUACAGUCCUGUUGGGAAUAUUUCGCGGCCAGCUCUACUUGGUCGUACAUCAAGCUCACAGGGAUCUCCUUCCCAUCAGGCCCCACAGGUCCGACCUCGGCCAUGUGGUUUGGGUCAGCCUUCGGGUACCGCGGCUUCACCAUAGCCCAGGCCUCCCUGGCGCCUUGACGGCAGGCCGAUAUCUUCCACAGACGGAGACGUCGCCGUACUCCCUGAAGCUUCUCAGCAAGCCCUCCAAGGCCCUCAGGUAGGGAGACGGAAGGCCAUAAGGCCUGAACGACACCACUCAUCGCCUGCCGAACACGUUCGAAUAGUUGCACCAGCUCGGGAAGUUGGUCACCCGUUGAACCGGGCAUUUCCUCCGCAGGGCGACCUGUGAGCACACCUAAAGACACAUUUCUGUCAAUCGACUUCCUCGCCGAAUUCUUCUUUUCAAAGGAAUUUGCUCAAGCACUUACUAUAAAUGCCGCGACGAAGCCGCUGAUUCUCCUUCACGGAGCCAGACAGCUGGGCCCGAACAUCUUUCAGCUCUUCUCCUAGCUGGGUGUGGGCAUCUUUGAGCUUGUUCCUCUCCUGCUGCACCUUCAUAAGCACCCUCUCGCCGGCCUUCAGUUGACGCAGUAGCUGUUGCUUGUCCGGAUCUAGUCCGGCGCCCUCUGCAAUAUUAUUGUCAGAUUUACGCACACGCCGCACUUUGUCAACUACUUAUCUUUUCGAAGCACGUAUUACCAGCGGGGGUCUCUAUGGCUCUCCCCGUGGCAGCCAGUGCGGCCUCAAGUUGGGCCUUGCACUCUUGAAGCUCCUGGGACAGGUGGGUAUUCUUCUCCGUAAGAUCCUGCAUAAUAAAUGAUCCUUAAAUCAGUUAUUUUAACUAUUUUAAGUCUCGGGGGCUACUGGCAUAUAUAACUAUUAAAAUUACUUACCCGUAUGUCCUUCACAUACUGCUCCACCAUCUUGAGCGGCACAGAGGUGCGCGUCUCCCGCAUCAAAGGCAUUCAACGCCUCCGGGGAGAAACACGCAUCACGAAGAAUUGUCUGGCGACGCGUGUGAUUCAUGGCGCUCUCCACCUCAGACGGGGUGGCGGACAGCCUGUCGGCAUCCUCCGUCGAAGGAACAUCCGGCUCGUGCCUUGUAUUCGCCUCCCCUUCCGGACCACGCGUUGGAGCAUGGCUGGCGGAGGCUUGAUUGGCAACCUCUCCGGACACUGUCCGGCGAGCGCUCUUUCUACUGGAAAGGUUAUGAGCAUUAAUAUACCUCCUAGGGAUCCUUCCCUUAAAAACAACAGUGCGCCGUACCGUUGCGGCAAUGUUUUGGUUCGCGUCGCACUCCUCUUCUGCCUGCUGGGCCGAACUGACCCUUGCUGGUCAGCCGCCGCGGAUUCGGCUUCCCGCCUUAAAGGCACCUCCUGCGAUGCACCAUCAGUACAGGAUGGUCAGAAUUGAGCAUGGAUCAAAUGAUGGUGCCAAGACCUCGGUCGUAGUCACCUGGGAAGCCGGAAACAAACCGGGGUAGUCAGCCGUAAUGGCGACUAGAGCGUUGUCCAUGCUAAGUUGGUGGAACACCCCGUCAAUCAGCUCCACCUUUAUGUCCGGAUCCUCUUCGGAGGCCGGAUCAAGGGAUCGUUCCGGAUCCCCGGGCUGUGGAGUUAGGCUUUGUAUGCCCUCCAUGUCCCGGCGUAGCUCCUGCAUCGAAAUCAUAAAGUAAAAUACUUGACUUUGGAAGUAUGGAUUGGGUAGAUAAAGGUCCACUUACCCAGCUCCGAGGGUUAUUCAUGGAGAAUCCAUUUAAUGGACUCGUGCGGAGGAAGUCCUGCUCCUCCCCCUUGUACAAGCCGGACAGGAUCUUUACCAGAUCGGCUGCCGAGCCCGGCCCUCUGCGGCCAUGACGGGUGGCAUCAUCUUCCCCGUUGAAAUCCCACAUAGGGUGGCCCCUAUAUUGGAGCGACUGCACCCCCCGCAUAAUACAUGUGGCCAUGGUUCCAAUCAUGGUCAAUCCGGAGUGGGCCAGUAACCUAAUCCGGCCCAUCAGAUAAUGGACACUCCCAUCAUCCUCCCGUUGGGGGCUCCGCGGGCGCCAGCUCGGGCGUUUCUUCAAGGGAGCAUUGCUGAACUCCGGGAGGCCGAUCCGAACUGGAUCCGGCAGAGGGGCGUCCUCCAUGUAGAACCAUUCCGAAGGCCAGUCUUCGGACGCCUUCUUCGGGGUGCCGGAUAGAUAUCCGGUCCCGGCGAUGCGCCAUAUUUCGGCUCCGCCCACUUGAUAUAUCGACCCCUCAUGAGAACAGGGUACGAGGCAAAACAAUCUCUUCCACAACGCAAAAUGGGGCUCGAUGCCCAAGAACAGCUCGCAAAGAGCUACAAAGCCCGCGAUGUGCAAAAUGGAGGCGGGUGUGAGGUGGUGAAGCUGGAGUCCGUAGAACUCCAGGAGCCCCCGGAGAAACGGGUGUAUGGGACACGUGGAAGAGGGCCAUUAUUGGGCGUAGAGGCCAAGGAGCGCAACAUUUAUAAGGAAGCCAGACACUAUUCGACAGGAGCAUGAAGUUUGAAGGAGAACCCGCCUUGCAAACACCGAAGACAAUUUACGCGCUGGAUUUGUCAUCAUUGAAGCCUGGUUCGGGGGCUACUGAGGGAGUCCUGGACUAGGGGGUGUCUGGACAGCCGAACUAUCAUGAUCGGCCGGACUCCAAGACUAUGAAGAUACAAGAUUGAAGACUUCGUCCCGUGUCCGGAUGGGACUUUCCUUGGCGUGGAAGGCAAGCUUGGCGAUACGGAUAUGUAGAUCUCCUACCAUUGUAACCGACUUUGUGUAACCCUAGCCCUCUCCGAGGUCUAUAUAAACCGGAUGGCUUUAGUCCAUAGGACGAACAACAAAUCAUACCAUAGGCUAGCUUCUAGGGUUAGCCUCCUUGAUCUCGUGGUAGAUCCACUCUUGUAACACACAUCAUCAAUAUUAAUCAAGCAGGACGUAGGGUUUUACCUCCAUCAAGAGGGCCCAAACCUGGGUAAAACAUUGUGUCCCUUGUCUCCUGUUACCAUCCGCCUAGACGCACAGUUCGGGACCCCCUACCCGAGAUCCGCCGGUUUUGACACCGACAAUGGUGUUGGUGAUGUGAUCCGCGCAGGGCUUCGCCUAAGCACUAUGAUGAUACUAUCAGAGGAGUAAACUAUGGAGGGGGGGACCGCACACGGCUAAGGGAAUAACUGAUGUGCCUUCGGGGUGCCCCCCGCCCCCGUAUAUAAAGGAGGAGGGGAGCAGGCGGCCGGCCUGGAGGGGCGCGCCAUGGGGGUGGGGGGGCGAGUCCUACUAGGACUCGACUCCUAGUAGGAUUCGCCCUCCCUUUUUUUCCUUCUUUCCGGAGGGGAAAAGGGGAAGGGAGAGGGAACCGGAGAAGGAAAGGGGGGUGCGCCCCCUCCCCUAGUCCAAUUUGGACUCCCUAUGGUAGGGGGGUGCUGCCACCCCUUGUGGGCUGCUUCCCCUAUCUCCUAUGGCCCAUAUUGGCCCAUUACUUCCCCGGGGGGUUCCGGUAACCUCCCGGUACUUCGAAAAAUAUCUGAAACUUCCCGAAACCAUUUUGGUGUCCGAAUGUAAUCUUCCAAUGUAUCAAUCUUCACCUCUCAACCAUUUCGAGACUCCUCGUCAUGUCUGUGAUCUUAUCUAGGACUCCGAACAAUCUUUGGUCACCAAAACACAUAACUCAUAUAAUACCAAUCGUCAUCGAAUGUUAAGCGUGCGGACCCUACAGGUUCGAGAACUAUGUAGACAUGAUCGAGACACCUCUCCGGUAAAUAACCAAUAGCGGAACCUGGAUGCUCAUAUUGGUUCCCACAUAUUCUACGAAGAUCUUUAUCGGUUGAACCGCAAUGUCAAUAUAGUUAUUCCCUUUGUUAUCGAUAUGUUACUUGCUCGAGAUUCGAUCGUCGGUAUCUUCAUACCUAGUUCAAUCUUGUUACCGGCAAGUCUCUUUACUCAUUCCAUAAUGCAUCAUCCCGCAACUAACUGAUUAGUCACAUUGCUUGCAAGGCUUCAUGUGAUGUGCAUUACUGAGAGGGCCCAAAGAUACCUCUCUGAUACUCGGAGUGACAAAUCCUAAUCUCGAUCUAUGCCAACCCAACAAACACCUUCGGUGAUACCUGUAGAGCAUAUUUAUAAUAACCCAGUUACGUUGUGACGUUUGAUAGCACACAAGGUAUUCCUCUGGUGUCCGGGAGUUGCAUAAUAUCAUAGUUGGAGGUAUAUAUAUUUGACACAAAGAAAGCAAUUGCAUAAUCUCAUAAUCCCUUCUUGAAACUAGUGGUCUUGUUAACCAUCAACACUUGAUGCUCCUUCUUGAUUUCUACCUCUGCGGCCUUUAGCAUCGCGAAGAGCUCGGGAAUAGUCUUUUCCAUCCCUUGCAUAUUGUAGUUCAUCACGAAGCCUUUGUAGCUUGGUGGAAGUGAUUGAAGAACUCUGUCAAUGACACAAUCAUCUGGAAAAUUAACUCCCAGCUGAGUCAAGUGAUUAUGGUACCCAGACAUUCUGAGUAUAUGCUCACUAACAGAACUGUUCUUCUCCAUCUUGUAGCUAUAGAACUUGUUGAAGACCUCAUAUCUCUCAACUCAGGCAUUUGCUUGAAAUAUCAACUUCUUCUCCUGGAACAUCUCAUGUGGUCCAUGACGUUCAAAACGUCUUUGAAGUCCCGAUUAUAAGCCGUAAAGCAUGGCACACUGAACUAAUGAGUAGUCAUCAGAUUGAGCUUGCUAGGCAUUCACAACGUCAGCUUCUACUCCUGCAGCAGGCGUUGCACCGAGUGGUGCAUCAAGGACAUAAUUCUUCUAUGCAGCAAUGAGGAUAAUCCUAAAGUUAUGGACCCAGUCCGUGUUGUUGUUUCCAUCAUCUUUCAACUUAGCUUUCUCUGGGAAUGCAUUAAAAUUCAAAGGAACGGUAGCACGGGCCAUUGAUCUACAACAUAGAUAUGCAAAAAACUAUCAGGACUAAGUUCAUGAUAAAUUAAGUUCAAUUAAUCACAUUACUUCAGAACUCCCACUUAGAUAGACAUCCCUCUUGUCAUCUAAAUGUUACGUGAUCCAAAUCAACUGAACCAUGUCCAAUCAUCACGUGAGAUGGAGUAGUCUUCAAUGGUGAACAUCACAAUGUUGAUCAUAUCUACUAUAUGAUUCACGUUCGACCUUUCGGUCUCCAGUGUUCCGAGGCUAUAUCUGUAUAUGCUAGGCUCGUCAAGUUUAACCCGAGUAUUCCGCGUGUGCAAAUCUGGCUUGCACCCAUUGUAUUUGAACGUAGAGCCUAUCACACCCGAUCAUCACGUGGUGUCUCAGCACGAAGAACUUUCACAACGGUGCAUACUCGGGGAGAACACUUAUACCUUGAAAUUUAGUAAGGGAUCAUCUUAUAAUGCUACCGUCGUACUAAGCAAAAUAAGAUGCAUAAAAGAUAAACAUCACAUGCAAUCAAAAUAUGUGGCAUGAUAUGGCCAUCAUCAUCCUGUGCUCAUGAUCUCCAUCAUCGAAGCAACGUCAUGAUCUCCAUCGUCACCGGCUUGACACCUUGAUCUCCAUCAUAGCGUUGUGGUCAUCUCGCCAACCAUUGCUUCUACGACUAUCGCUACCGCUUAGUGAUAAAGUAAAGAAAUUACAUACCGCUUGUAUUUUAUACAAUAAAGCGACAACCAUUUGGCUCCUUCCAGUUGCCGAUAACUUCUACAAAACAUGAUCAUCUCAUACAACAAUAUUUAUAUCACAUCAUGUCUUGACCAUAUCACAUCACAACAUGCCCUGCAAAAACAAGUUAGACGUCCUCUACUUUGUUUGUUGCAAGUUUUACGUGGCCGCUACGGGCUUCUAGCAUGAACCGUACAUACCUACGACACAAAAACCACAAGGUGAUUUAUCAAGUUUGUUGUUUUAACCUUCAUAAGGACCUGCCACAGUCAAAUUCGAUUCAACUAAAGUUGGAGAAACAUACACCCGCCAGCCACCUUUAUGCAAAACUACUUGCAUGUCUGUCGGUGGAACCGGUCUCAUAAACUCGGUCAUGUAAGGUUGGUCUGGGCCGCUUCAUCCAUCAAUACCGCCGAAUAAAAAUAAUACAUUGGUGGUAAGAAGUAUGAUGAUCACCGCCCACAAUUCUUUGUGUUCAACUCAUGCAUAUCAUCUACGCAUAGACCUGGCUCUGAUGCCACUGUUGUGAAACAUAGCAUGCAAUUUCAAAAAAAUUCCUAUGCUCACGCAAGAUCUAUCUAGGAGAUGCAUAUCAACGAGAGGGGGAGAGUGUGUCCACGUACCCUCGUAGACCAAAAGUGGAAGCGUUAACUUAAUGCAGUUGAUAUAGUCGAACGUCUUCUCGAGUCAACCAAUCAAGUACUGAAUGUACGGCACCUCCGAGUUCUACACACGUUCAGCUCGAUGACGUCCCUCGAACUCUUGAUCCAACAGAGUCCGUCAGCAUGAUGGCGUGAUGACGGUGUUGGUGAUGUGAUUCGUGCAGGGCUUCGCCUAAGCACUACGAUGAUACUAUCGGAGGAGUAACCUAUCGAGGGGGGCACCGCACAAGGCUAAGAGAAUAACUGUUAUGCCUUUGGGGUGCCCCCACCCCCGUAUAUAAAGGAGGAGGGGAGGAGGCGGCCGGCCUAGAGGGGCGCGCCAUGGGGGGAGUCNNNNNNNNNNNNNNNNNNNNNNNNNNNNNNNNNNNNNNNNNNNNNNNNNNNNNNNNNNNNNNNNNNNNNNNNNNNNNNNNNNNNNNNNNNNNNNNNNNNNNNNNNNNNNNNNNNNNNNNNNNNNNNNNNNNNNNNNNNNNNNNNNNNNNNNNNNNNNNNNNNNNNNNNNNNNNNNNNNNNNNNNNNNNNNNNNNNNNNNNNNNNNNNNNNNNNNNNNNNNNNNNNNNNNNNNNNNNNNNNNNNNNNNNNNNNNNNNNNNNNNNNNNNNNNNNNNNCCCCCCCCCCCCUUUUCCUUCUUUCCGGAGGGGAAAGGGGAAGGGAGAGGGAACCGGAGAAGGAAAGGGGGGCACGCCCCUCCCCUAGUCCAAUUCGGAAUCCUUAUGGGAGGGGGGUGCGUCCACCCCUUGUAGGCUGUCUCCCAUAUCCCCUAUGGCACAUUACUUCCCCGGGGGUUCCGGUAACCUCCCGGUACUCCAAAAAAUAUCCAAAACUUCCCGAAACCAUUCUGGUAUCCGAAUGUAACCUUUCAAUAUAUCAAUCUUCACCCCUCGACCAUUUCGAGACUCCUCGUCAUGUCCGUGAUCUUAUCCGGGACUCCAAACAACCUUCGUUCACCAAAACACAUAACUCAUAUAAUACCAAUCGUUAUCGACCGUUAAGCGUGCGGACCCUAUGGGUUUGAGAACUAUGUAGACAUGACUGAGAUACCUUUCCGGUCAAUAACCAAUAGCGGAACCUGGAUGCUCAUAUUGGUUCCCACAUAUUCUACGAAGAUCUUUAUCGGCCGAACCGCAAUGUCAAUAUAGUUAUUCCCUUAGUCGGUAUCUUCAUACCUAGUUCAAUCUCGUUACCGGCAAGUCUCUUUACUCGUUCCGUAGUGCAUCAUCCCGCAACUAACUCAUUAGUCACAUUGCUUGCAAGGCUUCAUGUGAUGUGCAUUACCGAGAGGGCCCAGAGAUUCCUCUCCGAUACUCGGAGUGACAAAUCCUAAUCUUGAUCUAUGCCAACCCAACAAACACCUUCGGAGAUACCUAUAGAUAAUCUUUAUAAUCACCAAGUUACGUUGUGACGUUUGAUAGAUAGCACACAAGGUAUUCCUCCGGUAUCCGGGAGUUGCAUAAUCUCAUAGUCGGAGGAAUAUAUAUAUAUAUAUAUAUAUAUAUAUAUAUAUAUAUAUACAUACAUAUACAUAUAUAUAUAUAGGACAAAGCUAUUCUGUUACUAGUAACAGAAUAAUAUUCUGUUACCCCUGGCCCUAUAUAGGAGCCGAAUGGAUAAAAAAGCACACAUCUAGCCCAGCCUAAUCCGCACCUCCCUCCGACGAACCCUGCUGUCACGCCCAAUAUGCGACCCUAUCCAAAAGGAACUCGAAGGUCCCACCAAGGAUAGACCCGCAUAUUGGAACGCUUUUGCAAGGUGGAUAUCAUUACAUCAACAUUACAUAAUAGAUGGGGAUACAUACAAUACAUACAAAGUCACAUGAAUACAACAAUACAACAUACAAGAACAACAUCCGACUAUGGACGAAACACAAAUAGAAACUCAAACGACAUCCACCCUGCUAGCCCAGGCUGCCGACCUGGAACCUAUCCCCUGAUCAAAGAAGAAGCAGAAGAAGAACUCAACGCAAAGCAAGCAUCGCUCUCCGCGUCAUGAUCAUCGCAUAACCUGUACCUGCAACUAUUGUUGUAGUAAUCUGUGAGCCACGAGGACUCAGCAAUCCCAUUACCAUGGGUAUCAAGACUAGCAAAGCUUAAUGGGAAAGGAAGGGGUAAAGUGGUGAGGUUGCAGCAGCGACUAAGCAUAUGUGGUGGCUAACAUACGCAAAUAAGAGCGAGAAGAGAGCAAAUGGAACGGUCGUCAACUAGUAAUGAUCAAGAGGUGAUCCUGAACACCUACUUACGUCAAACAUAACCCAGAAACCGUGUUCACUUCCCGGACUCCGCCGAGAAGAGACCAUCACGGCUACACAAGUGGUUGAUGCAUUUUAAUUCGGAUCUGGUGUCAAGUUAUCUACAACCGGACAUUAACAAAUUCCCAUCUGCCUAUUACCGCAGGCACGACUUUCGAAAGAUUAUACCCUGCAGGGGUGUCCCAACUUAGCCCAUGACAAGCUCUCGCGAUCAACGAAGGAAUAGACCUUCUCCCAGGAAGACCCGAUCAGACUCGGAAUCCCGGUUUACAAGACAUUUCGACAAUGGUAAAACAAGACCAGCAAGACCGCCCGAUGCGCCGACAAUCCCGAUAGGAGCUGCACAUAUCUCGUUCUCAGGGCUACACCGGAUGAACACUACGUACAACUAAAACCAACCCUCAAGUUGCCCCGAGGUGGCGCUGCAAGUGGCUCUGGUUUGGACCAACACUUAGACAAGCACUGGCCCGGGGGGGCUGAAUAAAGAUGACCCUUGGGUUAAUUACUCCCAAGGGAAAUAUAGGUGGUGGUGAGGCAAAUGGUAAAACCAAGGUUGGGCCUUGCUGGAGGAGUUUUAUUCAAAGCGAACUGUCAAGGGGGUCCCAUAAAUCACCCGACCGCGUAAGGAACGCAAAAUCCGGGAACAUAACACCGGUAUGA